AAGCUAAGGGACCUCGUGCCAGUUUUGAUCAAUUGUUUCCAUGAAUUCAUUCCAUUGGUUCAUGCUACCAUGCAUCUUGACGCUCAAUCAUUCGACUGUAUGCUAUAUAUACUUCAGAGCAUAGAUCUUGCAGUCAGGUUCUUUGUCUAUGGGACUGGCAAGUCUCAACCAGGAUUAUGCUCAUCUAUACACCCUUAUGAAGGACCAGAUAUGACCAUGUGGGAUCAAGAUGUCUCACCUGUAGUAUUGAAGAAGUUGCUAGUUGUAUUUCCCCUUAACCAAAGACAUGACCUUUCUGAAAAGGUACAACGUUUCUGCAUCUUUUGCAAGUAUAUCUUUGCUCCUAAAGAGCUGCUUUUAAUUUCUAAAUUUCUCUCUCUCUUUUAAUCAAUGUCAGUCUUCUAAUGUAUUCAUUUUUAUAAAUUAAUACACAUAAUUUCAUAUCAUGGAAUAACAUUUCCAGACUUCAUUGGUGUCUUGCUGUGUCCUUGACAACUCUUGAUCCCAGAAGUUAUGGUGUUUCGGUACAGCUGCCUAAUUAGCAGCUAUAUAAGAUAGCGCAUUUCUUUUCUAGUAGAAUUUCUCCUGAACAUUGGCGUUCUUGCAUUCUCAAGUAUAUAAGAAAAUUCCUUCUUAAUUGUGCUUGCUGUUGUUGGAGCUAGGAAUUGUCUAAUAUAUUUAUUUAUUUUUUUCUGCUUGGCAGGAUGGCGAUAGAUAUUUCAUCUUGAAUGUCGUGAUUACAGAAAUAUUUUUACACUUAAGUGAAUGGAGCUAUCCUCCUCCUGAUUUGUUGGAAAUAUUUCUAGAAUUCAUAGAAAAUGCACUGUCUGGAAAGGUUUGAUUCUUGGACCUUUAUGUUCUAUGGGAGUUUGAUUUUUUGUACCUUCAAAAAUUUAUUCAACAAUUAUUGGUGAUGAUGAGCUCAACAUUGAAAAUUGAGAUAAUCAGGUUCUAACAAUACUUUCUGAUAUUGUGUUCGUUAUUCAUUCCAGUGUUCCAACACCCUGAACUAGCAUAAAAAAAGGAUAUAAAUACCAAUAAUUAUUAUUUAGGAGUAGUUCAAAAACAGUAACUUAUGUGGAGAUCUUUGUAAUGUUGAAAGUGCAAGUCAGGUUGUCUGCUUUUGUGGGGGGAGCUUCCAGCAAUUUGGUUAGAAAGUCUUUCACUGGUAAAGUCAAAUUUUGAGAAAAGAAGUCUGAUAUAUAAAGAAAAAGGCCUAACACCAAGGAACUUUAAACAGCCCUCUAGUUUCCUUAAGAGUGAAGAUAUCCCCAUGUGGUCAAAGUUAACAUCUUCAUUUUGGAGCUUAUACGCACUUGCAGGAAAUUUCCAUACCAGGAGCUUAUACCCACUUGAAAGAAAUGAUCUUACAGAAAGCCUUUCAACUUUUCUCUUGAUAUCUGGAGCCCGCUUGUUAGUUUUGGAAGAGUCACCCUCUAUUAUUAACUUGAUGUUCCUCAUAACACUAAUUUCUUAAAGGCCUUUAUGAAUAAGAAAGAGUGGAGCAAUGCUUCAGUUGCGUUUUGUGUGAGAUAUAUUUACCCUAUGGAGUGUUGAGUGUUUUUCCUUGUAUAGUCUAAUGUGGUGUACUAUAUCAAUAUAUAGAUCUCCUUGGUAUAUCGGAGAAAGUUUAUCCACCUCUUCUUUUGAUUAGAUCUUGUAAAUUUGGGAAUGAUUCCUCAUCUUUGACUUGUAAAUUUGGGGAAAAAAAUGUUUGUCUAACAAACAAAUUGAUGAAUCUUUGAAUCAUUAAACCCCUGUUCUUUGUGAGUUUGUGGGUUGUUUGAUAUGCAGUAAGAUGUGGGAAAGAGAGCAGGUUUUGGAGCUUUUGGGUUUUCUUUUGUUUUUGGGUUUUUGGUGACUGGCAGAAUUUACUUGAUUCCCUUGUGAUUAUUGCGUUGUUUCUCUUGUGAGAUUUUGGUAUAAUUCAUCAAUGGUUUCUUUUAUUUGUUCAGUUUUUGGAUUGUGUUUUCCUUUUACCAAUAUAUGGUUGUUGACAAAACAAGAAUAAAAUCUUUGUAGUUGGUCAAACCCUACCUAUCUGAAUGUAAUGAUUUUGACUGGCCCUGUGCUUGUAUUGCCCAAACUGUCUUAGUUCAGAAAAUUAAGCUCUGGUUGGGCAUAACAGGUUAGAAAUCAGGUCCGAUCAAGAUUGGAUUGAGCUUGUAUUAAUUUUUAAAUCAUCUCAACUUGCCAAGUUGCAGCUCUGGCUAUUCCCAAUCUUCAUUAGAAUUUCUUAAAACAUAUCGAAGUGGAAUCUCUUUUAGCUGUUUUAUUACCAAUAAUAAAAGGAGACAAGGAACAAGUAAAAUCACAAGAUUUUUCUAUUUCUUCCUUUACCAGAACCCUUAAAAGUGGCACAAAAAUGAAAUUGAGUGUCUUAAGCAGGAAUCAAACUCAGAUAUGCUUUACUUGGCUCCCAUUUGGAAAGAAUAAAACAUGAAUAUAGGAAAAAGAUCACUAGCCCAUUGCAUUUUUUUUGUUGGGCAUGAUACAUAUGUCUGGGAAUAGCAUCAUUUUUUGCUUCUCCUAGCUUGAAGACUCCUUGCUGCUAGGAAAAAGUACAAUGACAAUUUAUAAAAAGGUUCAAUGGUCUUUUUUGCUUCAAUGGAAAAUGUCUGGACAUAGCAAUUUAUUAGGUCUCCUAGCUUGAGGCAUAUAUUAGUGUUAUGGUGUACAACCAAUCAAACCAAGGACCAACUUUUUGGAGGAAGUCUCUUUCUACAUCACUUUUUGAAGGAAUAAACCAUGUUCCUAUUUGGCAAAAAACUGAAAAUAGAAUUUCAUGGGGUAGUUUUUUCAUUUGUUUCUCCCUUAUCCCUACUUCCCCUGAAAAGCUGAAGUCCUUUUCAUUUUUUAUUUUUUUUGGUCUUUUUAUCCUUGUUUUAUGAAAAUUUUCAGAAAUCUGUAUGGGUGGCUUAAAUGCAUGUGGGAAAAAUAGUAAAGGAUAAGGGGUGCAUGCGGCUUAAAUGGCCUUGCUGCUAGGAAAAAGUACAAUGACAAUUUAUAAAAAAGGUUCAAUGGUCUUUUUUGCUUCAAUGGCAAAUGUCUGGACACAGCAAUUUAUUAGGUCUCCUAGCUUGAGGCAUAUAUUAGUGUUAUGGUGUACAACCAAUCAAACCAAGGAUUAACUUUUUGGAGGAAGUCUCUUUCUACAUCACUUUUUGAAGGAAUAAACCAUGUUCCUAUUUGGUAAAAAACUGAAUAGAAUUUCAUGGUGUAGUUUUUUCAUUUGUUUCUCCCUUAUCCCUACUUCCCCUGAAAAGCUGAAGUCCUUUUCAUUUUUUAUUUUUUUUGGUCUUUUUAUCCUUGUUUUAUGAAAAUUUUCAGAAAUCUGUAUGGGUGGCUUAAAUGGCCAUGUGGGAAAAAUAGCAAAGGAUAAGGGAUGCAUGCGGCUUAUGAUUUUGGAGGAAAGAACAAAAGAAUGAUGCUUUGUUAGAAUUUGCAAUGACGUGUGAUUUUGUAAUUUAACAAAUAUGUGCCUCAAUGAUACAGAUCAGUAGUUACUAAGAUAAUAGUCAAAUAAACUUCUUUCUUAUAGGAAUAAUGUUUAUAAAUUGUUGAAGAUGAUUUCUUGCAUGGUUUUUUUUGGAAGAUUUCAUUUAUUAUUAAUAUAUUUGGAAGCAAUAGUCAAAAUAAGAAUUUAACAAAUAUGAAACAAAAAUAAAAAAUCAAGACUGUAAAGAGUGGGAAAAACUUAAAAAGGAAAAAUGAUUCAGCAUUAUAUUAUGGAUGACUUGUCCACUCUUUUAGGAUGAUCUUUUGCUGUGUGUUUUUUCAUGAAUAAUAUUUGCUGCUUUGAAUAAUCCUAUGAAUUGCUGAAACAUUUUGAUGUUUUCAAGGGAAAGGUAGUUUUUGUAAAUGGUUCAUACAUUUGACUGAAAAAUUACAUGGUGUUUAUUGUUUGGCAGACUAGCAGUGCUGCAGAGUCCGGUAAAGCAUUUCGUGAAAAGCAUUUACUUUCACUUCUUCCUUUCAUUCCCAAACUUGUAUCACGAGUUUCAAGAAAUUGGAGUUUGCGUAUUCUUCAGGUUCAAUUCAUUCUUCUUGGAAUAAGUUGACUACUAAGGGCUUGUUUUUAGUGAAAUACUGUGAUCUAAUUCUCUCUCCCCUAAGGAUGAAAAUGUCGGUUUUUAUAGAUAUAUCAAUAAUUGAAUUAUAUUGGGAUAUAUCCAGAAAUAUCAAUGGAAAUUUUUACAAAAAAAUAUCAAUAUGAUGACAAUUAAUCAAAACUCAUAAGUAUGUUAGGGAAAAUACCAAAAAAUAAUAAAGAAAGCAAUAAUACACAUAUUAAUGUUGUUUUAUUGAAGAAAAUGAUGAAUGUAUGAUAAAAUUUGUAACAAUUGACAAUGAUAUGUAAACCUUAAAACACAUUAAUACUAAAAUGAUGGUCUAUUUAAUUUAGUUUUAUUCAAUGAUAUAAAAAAAAUGAUAAUAUAUGUAUGGUUUUUUUAAAAUAUAUUUAUACUUUUUGGUCUUUAAUUAAUAUACAAAAGGUAUAAAGAAAACAUUGUUACAAAAAUUAUCAUGAUUAGGAGUUUUCAUAUACUUAACAAUCAAUUAAAUGAAAUUUAAAAAUAAAAUAAUUGAAAUUUAUUUAUUUAUAAAAAAUUUUAAUUUAAUAUCUUGUUUUUCUCAUGCAUAUUUAUAUAUGUAUAGUUAUUAAAAUUAAUUUAAUUAAAGCUAAAGUCUAAGUAUAAAAUAUAUAUAUAGUUAUGUUCUUGCAUAUCUAAAAUGGCCAAGAUGCCUUGGUUAAACAUCUCAUGGUCUUCUGGGUAAGACCCAAGUUCAAUUCCUCAUAUCGUGGCUCUCUCUCUCUCUCUCUUUUAUUUUGUGAUUUUUUUGUGACUUUGACCAAUAUUUGGAUGGGUUGACCUAUGUCGACCAGUCAAACAAGGCAAUAAAAUCAUCGAAAAUUCCGAUAAAAUCAGGAUAAAACCAAUAAUAUCCAAAAAAUCGUUGAUAAUUUUAAAAAAUCGGUCAUAAUCUAUAUCCUACCCAUAUUUUGCUUCAGUGAAGCCUGAUACACGAAAUAUCACCUAUUUUUCGCAAUAUUUUCGUCCAUGCUCUUCCCUAUGAUCAGUGUUUGUUCAAGCACUGCUGUGGUUGUAUGGUUCUAGUCUUCUAUUCUCAAAGUUUUAUUGGUUCCUAAGCGAAUAAUGCUAAAUAAUUAAAAUUUUGAUUACAGGCAUUUACUAAAGCUUUCAAGGACAGCAAUCCAGAGUCUUCAGUGAAAUUGGCCUGCCUUUCUAUAAUAGAGGAAAUGCUAGUCCCUGUAAGCUAGUUCUGUACUUUCUCAGAAAAUUUGUUUAGAUUGCCUUUGUAUUUAUGAGGAAUAGUAAAAUGAAUAAUUUAUGUAUAUAAGAAUGCACCAUUGCCUCUUUCCGUGUAAUCAACUCAAAAUUAUCAUCCCUUUCUAUCCUUCCCAUUUAUAAUUAAGGAUUUUCUGUUCAUAUCACAGAGACAUGGCAUCCCAUCCCUAGAUGCAAGUGAUCCAGAAAUAUUAGGACAUCAGACGACAUGGAUAAGAGAGCUGCCUUUGUUGCUAAUCAUGUUGGGUGAUAAGCACCCAUCAUAUUCCAAGGUAUGUGUAUAUUUAUUACCUUUUUUUCUUGGUGUUGUUACUUGUUAGGUGUUGAUGGUGGUGUGGAGGAAAGUAAAAGUUUUUAGUGACAAAAAAAUGACUUUAUAGCAUAUGGAAAUCUAUAAGAAAGUGUCUUGGCUGACCCUUUUCAAGGUGAUUAGAAAUGUGCUACAACCAUAACCGUGUCUCUCCUGGAAAAAAAUUUGGCCUUUUCCUUUGCAGCCUGAGAGAUCCAAUCAAACUCUUACAUCCCAUCCUUGAUCUGAGGAGCAAACUUUCCUCAUGAAGCGGAUUGUUCUCCAAGGGGCUGAAAGCUUGGUGACCAUCUUCUUAGCGAUUGUUAAGCAAUCUCUUUCUUCCUUAGUCUAUUAAAGCCAGAAUGAUGAGCUUGUCCAAUUUCUUUGAGGACAGCAAUGGCCUUGGGGUCAAAUGAGUUAAAGCCCUUUGGCUUUGAGUUUGCUAACAACAUUCCUCUCAUAAUCUCUAAGGAUGACAAUUAUUUUAUAACCUACAAGGGGAAAUUAGGGCUCUACUUAUGAACACUGACCAAAACUGUGCUUCUCAUUUCUCUGAGCCACCUCCCAAUCUCUCAUAUGACCAGAGGUGUAGUGCCUUUAAAUUCCAUUCCAAACGGUGUUUAGAAAGCAGCCAAAAAGAGCAGUCCUAAUCUAAAAAAAUAUUCUUUAAUUUCUUGUCUUUCAUAUGGUUGAAACAAAAGCCAGAAAAGCGCAUAGCAUCUAUAUUUUGCAUUCAGGUUACCAACCUUUUGAGAAGGGCACUACCUGGGGAUAGAGAACACAUGUGUGCCUCCUGUUUCUUUAAGUGACCUCCCAGUGCUUCAUAGUGCACAGAAAUGGAGCUCCUUUAGGUUUUUUACUCACCAGAGCCCAAAAAUAAGCCAUAAAGAGAAUUCUAUCACAUAUUAGCUCACUUUGGUAAGUGCUUUUCUAAAAGAUUCUCUAAUUUCUUGCCUACCAUGUGUCUUAGAUGAAAGCCAGAAAUUUGACCACAAUAUUUUCCCCCAACUGUGUCCUAGAUGUUAGCUUUUUAUUUGGGAAGUAGCUUUUUUAUUUGGAAAGCUAUUUAGGAGAGAAUUCUAACUCUGGAUCAACUAAAAAGAAGGGGCUGGUUUUUACCAGGCAGGUGUUAUUUGUGUAAAGGGGAGGAGGAAUUAGGAAAUCAUUUGCUUCUUCACUAUCCCAUGGUAGCCAUGAUUUGGCAGCUUAUUUUGCUCUUUUUGGUAUUCAAUGGGUUAUGCCCUCUUCAAUCAAGGAAAUCAUACUUAGCUGGCAUGACUCUUUUGUUAGGAAGAAAAGGAUAAAGGCGUGGAAUGCGGACCCUUUGUGCUUAUUUUGGACCUUAUGGAAGGAGAGAAACAAGGGAGCCUUUGAAGAUACCAAAUUGGUGGACCAAGAUUUUUUUAUUUUUUUUUAUAGGUAAAUUUGUGUUCUAUUGGAACUUGAACCUGGAACCUCUCACAAUCCCUCCCCAUUCCAAAUUGGUUGACCAAGCUAUUUUAUGGUCCUUUUUGUACAAUUUUUCGGAAUAGGUCAGGGUGCAUGUAGGUUUUAGCUCAUGGUCUUUAUUUGAUUUCAUCGAUUGGUUGGGAUGUAAGUAAGGUGACGAUCUUUGUGUUUUCCCUUUUCUUUUUUGGCCGUAAUGCCUUGUAUACAUCAUGUAUACUUUCGGGUGGUCUUCUUUAGGCGCUCCUAAUACAAUUGCUUUUUACUUAUAAAAAAAAAUAAUUUUCCCGAAUUGUAAGCUGCUAAAGCGUGGCUCUUGCCAUGAAGCAAAAGUAGAAAGCCAAUCAAUGAAGUGUUCACUUGUCUCACUACUCUCUAUUCAUAAGAAGCAGAUGUUGGGGACAAAUUUUCUAGGGCCUCUAGUUUGAAGCAUGUUGUUACCAUUCACUUUAAGAGCAAGUGCCCACGCCAAGUACUAACCUUAAUAGGAAAUUUAAGGAGGAAAUCUAAGGAUCUAGUAUCCAUGGUCCAAGCAAAGAAAAAUGAGAUGAGGUUGUUAUUUUUAGGGGAACAAAUGUAAUCAACAAUGGAAGAAUAAAUAUUGACAUCUCUUAGAAUGUUAAGGAGGGAUGAUAUAUUGGAAACUGCUGUAUCAUUGAUAUUUAAAAAGUGGAAAUUUUAAUAGUCAGAUCCAUUAGAUGGAACCAUUGGAAGUCAUUUUUAGCACUGGAAUGAUGAUAUAAGAGAAGGGGGGGAGAAGUGUUGGUGGAAGAUUUAUCUUGCUGAUUAUGUAUCACACAUUCAUGCAGGAUGACAGAAUGAAGCAAAACCUUGAAAAACAAACUUCUAGAAACAUUGAGUUUCUCUUGCUGCCAAAUCUAGAAUCCAACUAUGGUGUUGAAUUUUGCACUUAAUCUUGAUAGCUAAAUGUUAGAAAACCUUUGCUUCCUUGAGAAAUCUCUAACCACUUUCCUGUGAGAUCCACAAUCCUUUUUUUUUACAGGUAAAAGCAAUUGUAUUAAGAAAGCCUGAUGUACACCUGAAAGUGUACACGUGAGAUCCACGAUCUUUGGGGGUUGUAUUACACAAUUUUAAUACCUAUUAAUGAUAGCAUGCAAUAUACAUCUGACUGCAUGGUAUCCCUAGUCUAUAUUGAUCAAAAAAAAAAAAAAAACAUGGUAUCCCUAGUCUAUCUGUUACUUCUCAUACCUGUCAGCCACUUCAACUAGACCCUAAAAUGAGUAAAGAAAGUAGAUGAGAUUUAGAAAUGCUUCAAUCGUUGGGCUUAAAUCUUUUCAAGACAAGGGAGCUCUCUAUGUAGCUCUUGCUUCUUCGCAAGGUUCAAGGCAAAAAGAAAGGGCUGAAUCACAACUUACUUUGACUUUCUUCUCACUGAGGUGGUGAGAUUUUUUAUAUUAUCCCUCUCAUUUUCUUUGUAAUUCUGAAUCCUAGGGAUCUUGUUAGAGAUUUAAUCCUUGAGAUCUUUGAGUUAGGUUUGAUAUUUAAGAGCCUACAUUCCUUUUCUACAAAUCAUAGAACUCUCAAGAUUGAUGCCUAAAAGUAUGCUUGUGGUCAUAUUGGUCCUCAAUUCUCAACCAACCUAGGAUGUUAGAGAGAUAACGUAGUAGCUUCAUCAUCCAUCUUCAUCACGUGCUUUUGUUCUCCUUGCAAUUUCCAUUCUCAUUGCAGGUAGUGUUGCACCUUCAACUUCGCCUGGGGCAAUGUGCUCUUUUAAAUUCUGCUGUUGCACAGGAAUAUGACAACAUGCAAUACUCGCUGCUUGAAUUCUACUGCACUUGUUUGGAAGAAAGUAAGAAUUGAAUUGUUUAAAAGUAUUAUAUUGAUCAAGUGCAUUUACUUCUUUGUCACACUCUUUCUUAUGUUUCAGGAAGCAUGUUUUAUGGUCCUUUCAUAAAGCUUGCCAGAGAUUCCCAGGAACUUUCUGUCUGUUGCCUUUACUAUUUCUCCCAUUUGGAUUCAUCUCUGCUCAAGUCAAUCGCUUUUUGUUGUCUAUGUGAGUACCAUGUGUAUGAUAAUUAAAAACUCCAUGAGUUGUGUUUUUUUUUUUUUUUUUAAAUAGAAUCUUAGAACAGAAUCCAGGUCUCUUCUCUUUGUAUUUAAAACUAAUUUUAAACAUGAAUGCAUAGGUUGAUUUUUAUUUUGGAUGAUCGUCAUAGCUGCUAGAUUUCAUGGAUAAAUUGCUCAAAGUACCUCAAUUUAGAAUUGAUGAUUCAGUAGCCAUAUUUCCUAAAGUAUGCUGCACUCCUUUAGUUCGCUGUCUUAAUACAACUACUAACUCAUCCUCACCAUGGUGAAAGAGUAUGUUUUCCUUUUCUUUAUGGUGAUAGAGAUGAUUCUAAGAGAUUCUGACAUGAAUAUUUGGGACAUAAAAAGUAGUUGGAGAAUUAUUUGCUUUGUAGGAGAUAGUGGUGGACCAUGGAUUGUUUUCAUAGAGCGAACCUGAGGACCAUGAAUUUGCUUUGACAUGAACAUCCAUGGAUUGUUCUCACAGGGCAUAAAUGCCUUCACUUGUUUGUCCUACACUUUGAAAGACAACUUUGUUCCAAAAAUUGAGGAUGAAUUAUAAUUCCUAACAUUUUUUUAGUUAUUCAAGGAUAAAAAUUUCUUUGAUGUAGGUGCAAUAUGCACAUUUAGAAAAGUAGCAGACUCUAUGCUUAAUGUCAAACAAUUGGAGAUGUUUAGGGAGCCCCCUCUCUCCCUCUCUAUACAUACUUACAUAUAUAUGUGUAUAUAUAUUUAUAUAGUAGUUGGUAAUUAUUCGUAUAUCAUGACUAAAAUAGGCUGAGAAUGCUUCUUCAUAAAAUUGUAAGCAUGAAAAGAAGAAAAAAACUAUGCUGUUUUUAGCACCUGUUUAUCAAACCUUUUGUAUACUUAUUUCUUGCCAACUUAUUGCAGGUGAUGAUUUGGAACCAUUUAUGUUAUUUCGAAUAAUAGAGGUUCUGCAUUCAGCAUAUAAAGCUGGGCAUAUUCAGAUUGCCGAUCAUAUUAGUUUCUUCAUCACUCUACUUUCACGAUUCAGAGUUUUUCCUGGUAUCCAGCCCAUUCAUUUUCUGGAAAAAUUUAGUAGCUAACAUUUGGUUUCUCUUCUCUCUGUUAGUUACCCUUUUUGCAAUUUUAUUUUGUGGUUGAACUUCCAUAAAACUGGAGUGCAUUUGGUCCUCAUAUGCAAUCAUCCAUAUCUAUGCAUAUAAGGGGUUGUGAGGAAACAUAUAUAUAUAUAUAUAUAUAUAUAUAUAUAUAUUAUAUAUGAGGGCAAUAGGUUGACUGUGACAACUAGUUUUAUUACAAAAAGAUAAAUGGCAUCAUAUAUGAGCGAGGUUCUUAUUAGUCAAGCUGAGCCUGAGAGAUAUCUUGCAAGCUAAAAUUGGUCUUUUUAUCUCUGCAGAAGAGAUUUAUACGGUUAUGGAGGGUGACAAGAAGAUGUCAAAUCGUGGGAUUUUCAAGUCAGUUACUAGUGUUGUUUCCUCUUGCCUGCUGCAGAUGGGGGAAGAUUCACUUGUUUUUCAGAUACUGGAGGAAGUUAUACUUGAUCAGAUGGUAAGUUGACAUAAUGCCUGUAUCUCAUCGUGCAUAUCUUUCAUUUCAUGCAUGUAUGCUACUUUUUAUACUUCUGGCAGCUUUAUGUUGGCUGAUUUCUCCUUUAUUUAGUGAGAACUCUCCAGCAUUUCCUUUGGACUACUGAUCGGCUUGUUAGGAAUUUUCCUAUGGACAUGAAGCCCUUAUACCAACCUUGUUUUUAUUUCAGUCACUCAGGCCACCUAUAGACAACAUCUGUGCUAUGCUUAGAAUGCUGCUUUUACUGGAUUCCAGACCCACAAGACUUUCUGAUCAGAGUGUUAUCAAUCUAAGCAGUUUCCUAUCAGGAUACCUGAUUGAUGUUGCAUCUGUAAGUUUGUCAGCUAGAAUCUGCGUUUAAAAAGUUUACAAAUUGUUUCUCUUUUUUGUCACUGUAUUUUUUAAAAUCUGUUUCACUUUCUUUUUUUUGUUAAAUCUUAAAUGUGUGUGUGUGUUAUGGUGAUUUCUUCUUGGAUACUUAUCUAUAAGUAGGCCUCACUUAGCUGGAAAAUCUCAAGUCCCCACCAUCAUACUUUUUAUCCUUCCAAAAUCUCCCUCUACCCAAAAACUGAACCAUGGGCCUCUGAGAAAAUCCACCCAAAUUAUCAUCACAAAUUUUACAGGGGCAUAGAAGAGAAAAAGUGCCUCCUCUAUACACGACAACUCCAAAAUUCAAUUAUCCCAUCAUCACCACUCACAAACCCCUUAGCAUUAGUGCAACCCACUCUAAACAGCAACCUGCCCUAAGGCUCCUAAACUUAUAUUGAAACCAAUUUAGAUUCUUGUAAGCACAACCAAUUGGGCCUUGUAAGGUUGGAGGAGAAAUGGAACGACCUCCCUCUUAUCCACAACAUUUGCCCUCUUAAAUUCCAUGAAUUAAUCCUAAGUUUCAUUGUCCAAUCAUGUUUGGGUUCAAGCAGCAACAGCACCUGCCUCAAUCUUCAAAUCACCACCCUCAUAAUUCACUGAGCAGGAUGGUUAUGCAAUUCUCUGUUCUUGCAUGAACUGCCUCUCCCCUUCUUUCAUAGUGUUAGAGCCCUGUUUGCCCCACCUGGAUUCUAUGUCUUAAGCAUGUCCAUACUCUCCUCCAUACGCUUUGAUCAACAGUUACAAAUACCUGUUGAAUAUCCCAAAUUUCAUUUUUGCCUGUGGUGUAGGAGCUUUCUCCACACCUUUUUGAACUCCUGAUCUGGAUUGCAUGAAAUUCCACCAGGCAGUAUAAUAGAUACCAUGUUCAUGUCAAUAGGAGGCAACACAAUACCACACCAAUCUUUCUCCAACCACACCACCAUAUUCCUCACGCAUUUUAAUGGGACUCUACCAUGGCCCAUCUUGCAAGAUCAUCUGCAAUAGUCACCUCCACUUCACUGCAAGCUUUCCUUACCUACAUUCCCAGGUGCAUCCAUUGCUCCAAUGCUUUUCUGACCUAUAAGGCCUGCUCAUCACCCACCAAACUAGAGGAAGAAGACCCCAGCAGACUUACCUAAGUUAGGAGACUCCCUUUCACAAAGAUAAGUGCUUACUGCUAAUUAGUGUCAUCACCUUUAGCUCCUCCACACCACCUUCACCUCUCAUCCCCAUAAAGGGACGAAAAGACCAACUUGAUUAACUCACAAUUUCUUUGCCUGGGCAUCAUACUGCCUCCUGUCCAGUAGAAAAGACUUGAGGAUGUCUUGCUCUCUGCUUCCAUAUGUUCUCCCUUCUCAGCCUCCAUGGGAGAUAUGAACUUAAAAAUUGCCAGCCUAAGGAGGUCAGAUUCACUUCCUUCACUUUAUUACAAUCCACCUUCAAAAUUUGAAUUACUGCCAAUGGGUUGCCAAACAAAAAACAAACACCCCUACCACCCAACAUCUUCUUGUCUACAUUGGCUACUUCUUGCUCUACUUGGCCUGGUCUUUAGUAUCUUACAGUUGUCAUUUAACAUCCUAAGCAAUGCUCAAAGCCCCCAUGGACCUUAGCUGCUACACUGCCUUCAGACACUGUUGAAAUUCCCCAUUUCCAGUUCCAUCCUCCACACGCUUUGAAUGUUUACCAGAAAAUCCCAGAUUAUGCAGCCUGCUUGGCUAAGAAUAUCGACUCAGAAAAUCUAAGCUAUCUAGGAAAAUAACAAAAUACCUCGUUAUGUCCUCUGGAAACACCAAGCCGGGCAGAUAUCAACAAUUCCCAUUUUUCAGCUCUCUUCCAUCAAGCUUAAGAUCUUUAAAUUACACAUAUCAUUUUUUCAUCCACAACAAUAAUCCAAACAGUUCAAAAGUCAUGAGAGUCCCCUAGAACCUAGUUUGUUCCGCCUUUAGUAGCCUUUUCCCGUAUUCAUGAUCUCCCCUUUAAUUUUCCCUUGCCAUUGUUUUCAUAAUUCCUCGUUUUAAUCCUAGCUGCAUCCCAAAUAUUUCAUUUCAGUUCAAUUUAUGCUGAAACCUUUAAAUUAUAAACAGCUAUCCAUAUUUCUGACUUUAUUGCUUACAUCUAGUCCAGUUUCAUCAGGUAGACAACAUGCACCACGGGACCUCAUCUUUUUUUUUUUUUCUUUUGAUCAAUAAGCAAAAGAAUUGUAUUAACGAAGAGGCACUAAAAUAGCGACCCACAGAAUUACAGUAUAGAGACACUCACCCCCUUACAAUUGGACCCAAAACAAGAAGGAAAAAACAAAAAACCUCCAGUUGUGCAGUUAAGUUCAUCCAUUGCUAAUGCAAAACGCAAGCAUCUGUGCAGCUAGAAAAUGGCAUCUCCCAUGAGUUGAUCUCUCAGGUUGUAUCCUCCAGUUGUAUGUGCAGCCCUUCAUCAAAUUAAUAAAUCUAGUUAUUCUAUUUUCUAUUUUUUUUCUUUUUUGAUCAGUAAGUGUAAUAUGUAUAUUCAAAAAGAGGCGCUAAAGAAGCGACUCAAAAAGCUACAGCAUCGAACAACUCACCCCCUUACAAAAGAACCCAAGCCACUAUGAAAGCACAAAAAACUCUCUCCCUUAACGCAUACACACCCAUUCCAUAAAAUCUAUUAAGGUCGAAGGACCAUCUUUUAUCCACAAUUUGGUUUCCGACCAUAGUAAAUACACAAAAGAAAUUUUCAGCUUUUGGAUGGACAGCACCCCAUCCUCAAAAGCAAUAGAAUUCCUAGCCUUCCAAAUAACCCAAAACAAGCAUAACGGUCCCAAAAGCCACGCCACCUUCCUCUUCUUGCCCACAAAGGAGCCUCUCCAACCUAUGAGAGUUUCCUUAACCGAAAGCGGAAAAACCCAAGAGACUCCAAAAAAAGAGAGUAGCAAAGUCCACACCUCCCUUGCUCUUCCAAACACCUAUUAGUUACAUUUGUCUUGUUAUAUACUAAUUUUGAAACAUAUAAUUUCCUCCCUGCUAUAUCUGAUGGAUAUGGACACAGGUAUGAGAUGCACAGAUUCACUGACCUAGCUCAAAAAGUAGGACCAUAGAUGUGGAAAGGACAGAACAAUAUAUUAGUAUAUGCUUACUGGUCUUUCCUCUCUUUUACUAGUCAUAUUCUUGUCUUUUGUGAGUUUGAUCUCUGUGCACUGCACUAUAUAGACGCAUGUCCAGCAGUGUGAGGGGAUUGUACUUUCCUACUUAGUAUUCACAUAGACAUGGGUCCUCUUUAAAGGCAAGCAUGCUACGGGCAUCCUGUUUAUGUUUACAUUUCAAGUUUAAGUAGUUUGUUAGUUGUUUUGAGGAUUUGUUUUGUGUUCUUUGUAAAUUGUUGCUUGUCAAUUUGCCAGCUUAAUGACUUACCAAUUUUAAUUGAAGCACUUCAUCCUGAUGCAGGGCAUUCCAGAAGAUGAUGGCAAGUCCACCAGUUCCAUUCAUGUCAACACAUGCCAUUAUUAUUUCCUACCAUGCUUUUUACUGUUCACAAGAAGUGAAAAGUUUUUAAAGCUCACCUUGGAUGUGAUGGGCUCAUUGAUAACAGAAAAUGGUUCAUCACCUUUUUCUCCUAAUUGUAUUCUAAAUGCCACUGACCAUACGAAUAGGAUAAGAGCUAUUGUUGAAAUCCUUAUAUUGAUGCACAAAGAUGUUAAAAUCCAGCGAAUUCUUUCUUCAUGCAAAUCAGAGAUUGACCAUAUUUUGCAGAACAUGCUCUUAUUACAGGUAUGAUUUUGUACAUUAAGCCAUGCAAUUCCGUUUAGUUUUUUUUUAGUUAGUUUGUGUAUUCAACUGACCUGUCUGGUCCAAGCAUCAUGGAUUUUUUUCAAGGUUAAACCAGGCAGCCAAAGCCUGCACUAUAAAUGCUAUUUAAUCACGGAUGUCAUAGAUUGUUUAUAUUUAAUAUGUAGAAUGUGCCAAAUUGAAAUGCUCAUUAAGUAUCUUUUAGCAGAAUAACUGAUUGGCCUUUAUACUGUCCGAUCUACCUGAUCUAAUAUGACUCUUUAACUCUCCAAGGAUUGCUGUAAAAAGGAAAAUGAGUCAGAAAUUCAGAGUAAAGAUUACCAUGACAAUCACAAGCUUCAUUGUAAUGAAAUCAGCCUGUUUAUUGUUUGAUCAUUAACAUGUUGAAUACUGCUGUUAUGAUUAGAUGUUUUUUUCCCUCAAGAUAGGGUAAGAACUUUAGAAUUGGACCCCUUAUAAUUCAGACCUAAUUUUAUAUUCACAAGCCUUCACAAAAUACCUUUCAAAUUCGAUUUGACCUCAUAAUCACUAGCCUUAUAUGCAAGAUAGUCUGCAAUUUUGUUGCUAUUUCUGUUGAAAAUAUCAAUAAUGGUUUUAUAAUCCAAUUAUAUGAUAAAUACCAAUCAUAUCCAAUUAUAUGAUAUAUAGAUCUACUUUCCUUCUUUUGAUCACACUUUACACAGCAGAUUUUGUAUGUGAGAAGGAUUUCUCUGUUUUCUCAGCCUUCUUUAUAUUUGUUUUCACUGGAAUAAAAUGGUUGUUUCUGAUUAAUAUUAACAUAUGCACACACACACAUAUUAUACACGCUAAAGACAUGUUGUUGUGUGUAAGUAAUAAAUUUCUUGACAUCAUUGUUACCGCAGGCUUCAAAAGGAAUGAAUAUGAGUAUCGAAGAAAGGCACAAUAUACAAUGUGCAUUUGACCGACUAAAGUGCAUAACAAGUACACUACCCAGUGCGACGCCAAUAAUCUAAAUGCAUUUUUGGAAUCCAAUAAAUUGGCCUAGUAAGUUAUCUAUCUUUCAUCUGCUUUUGUUUCACACAUUAUUCUUCAUUUAAAAGAGGUGAAAGGCAAGGUGGUUUUGGAGGUUUUGGGUUCUGUUUCUCAUGAGAAAGUUCAUGAUCCAGGGAGGGGGGAUGAUCAAUUACAAUCUUGCUUCUUUGACUCUAAAGGGCAUUCCAAUUUUAUGGUCUAAGAUAUCCUGACGCUACUGUACAGUAUGGGCAAAGGAGUCUAUAAUUCAAACUAGUCAUUGGCUUGUGCAAUGUACAUGAAACUGUUUUGUUCAAAACAGAUUGAUAAAAUAAUAUAUUCUAUGUCAACUAAAAGUGAUAUUUUUCUAAUAGGUAUAACUAGAAAGUGAUCUGAAUUUUGUUUGGCUCUUUAAUUAAUGAUCUCUUCGCCUGUCAAAGAAAACUAUGGAGUGACGUAAGGCUGCUAUAGUAAUGAAACUGUUUUUAUUUCUGAUAAAAAAAAUGAAAUUAAAAUAAAAUAAAAUGAAAGGGUUUUAGGUAUAGGAGAAAAUUAGUUGCUAUAUCCUUUGUGGUGGUUUUGAUCUGUUAUGGAAAAAAAUGAUCCCUUUACUUUAUGCAGCUGUCUCUUCUGACUCUUUUAUCUUAAAAGGGGCCAUGUGCUCCUUGGAUAGCGGUAGUCUUUCUUCUACUAAAUCCAUUGGCUCUCCCAGAGCCUGGGUUCCAUGUUGGAUUCUGUUGGGUGAUUCCUAGUGAGAUUCCAUUGGUGUUUGGGGUUGCUUUCUGGGUUUUUUCAGCAUAUAAGUUUUAUUGUCUGAUGCUUCUAAUGAUACGCAAUAACUUGAACCUAUACAGGAGAAUGCCCAUUGAAACAUCUCAUCGAGUAUUUAAUACAAUGUUUUGUAACAGAAGUGUGACUAAUUUUCUCUCAUUUUUCUUGUGCCUUCUUUCAGCUUUGUAUUUUACAAGAAUGGAGAGAACAUGGAGAAUCGGAUAUGUUGUUGGCAAGAUGUGGAAUUGGGAUGUGUUGUUAAAUCAACUAGUAUAUGUCACCAUAAUCUCAAGAUGACAAGGUGAAUUCACUCUGAUUCAACUUAUCCGAGUCAUGCCAGAAUUAUACCUAGUGGUCUUCAAUCACAUGCUUGUAUUCUUCAGAGUCAAAAGUGAGUGCAAUUUUGAGCCGUAGAUAAGGUAAUCAUCCCCCUUUCUUGGCCUUUUCCUUGGUUUUUUUCCUCUCCUUUUCUUCUGCAUGGCAAUUGCCUACGCACUUCAUCAUAUAGUUGAGUUAUAAGAUAUAUACUUAUAGUUGAUGAGAUUUUGUAGAAAAUUUUGGAAUUGCCCCAAACUGAUAAGAUGGCAUGAGGUUGAAUGCACACAAUUUUGGGAGUUGACUCAUAAGUUAAAAUGAUUCAAUGGAGUAGACGUAUUACACAAAUUUACCUCUCCGAGUGAAUAUUAAUAAAACGCACCAACAAUUGAGCAAUAUUUGGUCUUCUAAUUAUUCAGUGAUGUUCUUUGUUGUUGAAAGUCAAAAGAACAAUUUAUCAUCCGAAAAUCUGUUGAUUGAAAACCAUUUGUUUUCAAGACUAGUUAUAUUAGAAAGUUGAUUGUAGUAUGGGAUCAAGGACUAUUAUUGCCGAGGUUGGGUGAGUGAGAUUUUAUGUAUUGACCCUUUAAGUUCAUAUUUACAGAUUCUCAUUACCUCAUUAAGCAAAAUAAGAUGAGGGAUGGAUGAUACCUGAAUUGCCUGAUUCUUCUACAGCCCAAUACCCGAUAAUAUUUUUAAAGCGCCUAUCAUUUGUGAUGGUAAACUUCGGCAAGCACUCUUCUUACACAACGUGUGCUUGUCAGAAAAAUUAUUGAUGGAUUUAAUUUCCAGGAGGUUUGACCGUGGCCCAAGUAUCUUUUCAACUGCAACACCAAAGUCCCUAUGGGCCAUUAUGCAUUUAAUCCAUUUUACCCAAACGUCAUAUCAUCAAGAUAUCCAAAACGGUGCCGUAGAGGUUAUUUUGAUAAUAUGUCUAAAUACAAACUUCCAUAUUUUUUUGCGGUCGAAGUGAUUUGCCCUCACGCUUGAUCAAGAGAUCCGGACUAGUUUCCAUUUGAGAAAGUUAAAUUUACAGCCUGCUUGAGAGAAAUUAAGGAAUGGUAGGAUCAGACAAUGAAAUAUCGGAGUAUUCAAUUAAUUUGCUAAGAAAAACUCAAAAUGAAUUUUAAUAUUUUACCAUCUGAUUAAGUCAUCCAAAAAAAAUCAUAAAUGUACAAAUGCAUGCAGGUAGGUGUCCUCUUCAUGAUGGUAUGCACUGAAAUUCGCAUUAGGUGAGACCCACAAGUUCAUUUGACAUUUGCCAUAAUCAUCCCUUAAAUGAAAAUGACUAAAAUGUCUUCAUUAAUUUGCAUCAUGGUCCAUGCUUUUCGUUUUAUAUGCUUCUGCAAGUAAAGGGCAUUUAUCUUUACAGGCCUCGCUCAACCAGGUCCAUAUGCAUAUGAUGGUGGAGCUCACUUAAUCGUGUGUUACACCGCUAUCCCCCAGGAUCCCAGCCAAGCAAAUUGGGCCCACCAAACAUUCAUGGCUCACUUAUUCUUAGGUAAGCUGGUGGUGUACCACUUCCAGGAUUGGCCUUCCCAACCUAAAACCUCUCAUUUGAUGAUCAAUUUGUUUGCUUUCAGGAAAGCAUAGUCCAGCCAAUAAUGUGCCUGUGUGCAUGGUUCACCUCAAACAAAUCCAGAAAUUUGCCAAGUCUUGUUUUACAUUAACCAGCAGUCACCCGUUGCCCUGAAACUAACUUCUUUAGUGACAAAUUUGAACCUGAAUACAAACAGGUUUGUAUGAUUAAAAGCUAGUGAGAAAGGCGAGUGAAAAAUAACAAACCAAAACUAAGAAAUCAAGUAGACAUAUAGCAGAAAUAUGAACUGCCAUGCCUACAUGCUUGAAACCAAGGCCAUAUCAACAGAUCAAGUAUGUGAGCUGGAACAUGAUUUGAGUGAUGAAAAACAAAUGAUUAUGGGUGUUAUUUAUUCUAAGAUAACAUUUGGGUCCUGCAUUUGUUCCUACUAGACAACAAUUUCCAGGUGUUAUUAGUAGUAAUCCCAAAUGUCAAGAAAACUAAACAAUUUUCACAUCAAUGGCAACCCCUUAGGGUCUGAAAAGCUUGGUCGGCGCAAUCAUUCAAGUGAACCAUUGAAUUCUGAAUUCCUUGCAUUGGAGUGAAUACAAGAGAGAGCAAUAUCAGUUUCAUCCUUAAUCAGGUUUUUUAAAUUAUUUAAUGAGAGCAAAAUUUGCAACUAAUAGAUUUUGGUAAUAUAAAUUCAUUAGUCAUAAUUGUAUUCUCCUGAAGAAGGGGAUACUCAAAAUAUUACCAAUAUGAUCAGGACACCAAAAGAUUAACUGGACUGGAAAUUGAGAACAAAGAAAAUGAAAAAGAAACAGGACUGAGGAAUAGAAUAGAAGCUUAAUACAAAUUCCCAAUGCAAUUUAGAAGAUUCUAUGAAAUAAUAAACUGUAAUUUUUUUUUCUGAAAUGACAUAUGCACUUGUUUGCCAUAUCAGAGUAAAGCAAACUACUACAAAGUAGCUAAUCUGUCAUCCGAAAAAUAAGAAGUAGAGGACAAACAAAUCUAAAUAUACAAACCUCUGCAAGAAUUUCUACUGAAAGAACUUCCAUUUCUUCUCACAAUCCUGAGACUGGUGCAAGCCUCGGAUGUUCACCUUACCAGCACAUCCCUGUAUCAGAUUCAUCUCAUGAAGCCAUUUGUAUGUAACUGAAAAAAAAAUUAAAAAAAAUGCUGUAUUAGAUUCAUGAAAACGACCCAAGGAGCACAACCAACGAGGCACCCUUUAUGAGAUUGUUAAAUUUUGAAUGGUAGCCUUUCAUUGUUAAAUUUGACUCCUAGUAUUUCAUGCAAGGAAAUGCAUUUGUUCCCAAAAAAAAUAACCCGGUCAACACAGGUUUAAGAUCAAAGUAUUGCUUUAAAUUUCAAUUGUUUAUGAUAAAUAAGAGUGUAGAAAUCAACAACCCAAAAUUUUUUCCAUAUUUUCCUUCUAAAAACAAACUUAAGAUUAAGAAGUUGGUGAUGCUUAUGUCUCACCCAUCAAAGGACCAAAGAAAAAAAAAAUCAACCUCUGGUUCUUGCAUCUCAAAACUAUGCAACUAAAAUAUAAUUGUGUGAAUAAAUAUAAUAGAACAAGGGCUCCCCCUUAUUUCUUUUGGUCUAAGCUUUGAAAAGAUUGGAGGGACAGGAAUGCCAAUUUGCUAUCCAUCUGAUCACUAACUUUUGUAAUACAUCUAUUUAUGAUUCAUACGAUGGUGUCUGCAUAUCAUACAAGGUAGUUGUGUUGUAACUCCCAGCUAAACUUGGUAUGCCAAAUUUUGGCAUUCAUGUCCCUUGUGCCAAACCUCGUCGACUCAUGGAGACACGUGUAAGUUCUCAGGCCACUUUGGAGAAACCAACCUCAUCCCACCAUUUCCAUCAUUUCAGUUCAAUGUUGUUCGCUUUUAGUAAUUUCACCACAACACGCAAUUGCUUUCCUUUCAUAAUUUAUGUUGAAAUUUAGCAAAAAUAGUGAUAAUUUGAUAGAAAUCAUCCCCUCUUCUCUCCCCCUCUCCUCUCGAAAUCAGUAUUUCUAUAUAUAUAAAGAGAGAGCGCGCUACCUUUCUGGACGAGCAAAUGAGACAAACUCCUCGUUUCUUCUACAACCUUCCAGAGGAACUUCCAUGAAGGACGAUGAAAGGGAUCCCCAAGCACUGCGAGACUGAGUGGCAUGAAUGUGAAUCGAUUCAGAUGGGAAGGGCAAUAUCGUCACAAAAAAUUAAUAUGUGACGAUAAAAUAGCGAACUAGACGCCACUGCUCGAUGAGUGGAUGACUUGGGAAGCAAGCAACUAAUGAGAGUAGGAGCCUUUGAAGCUUCUUUCGUCAUCUGGUUUAUACCAUAAAAAUCAGAUUCAUGUUCCGUAAAUACCCCCACCGCCUUAAUUUAAUUACUAUUUCAGGUCUAAAACCCCACCACGCCUCGCGCCUUUUAUAAAACCCUUUCUGUUGCAAUAUUUCCUUGUUAAUGUUUUCAGCCGACGGGAUUCGCCGUGGUCUGCAGGUAAGAUGAUGGAGAUCAACGCCGGGGUCUCUUUUCCGGUCGUCUUCUUCGAUGGGGAACGGGAAAUCAACAUCGGAGACGUCGUUGUGUUUCCGUCGAUGGAGUUUAAGAAUUUCCAAUCAAUUCUGAGCCAGAAAAUUGGAAUCUCUCCACACCAGAUCUCCAUCUUCCUUGACUGUCAGAGGAAAUCGCGAUCAUCCAUGGAAACACGUCGGAGAAUUCCUAUUACCGGUAAGGUGAGUUUCUCUGCAAUUCUUCGCGAGAAGGAUUGCUUCUUUCUUGUGGUCUUGAAGCGAUCAAGGAGAGAAAGAAGGCGAAAAUCAAGACUUCUUAACGAAGUGGAAGAAGAAGAAGAGAACUUCACGACGCGGAAUACAGUAGCGCCGCCUCAGAAACUGCAUCUUCUCCGGCGAAACCAAGAGACAACCGAUCAAACAUUUUCAGGCUUCGUUUCGCCGUAUUACGAUCAGAUUAUGCCUUCGGACGACCUGUUCGUGGGAUCGCAGUUUCUAAAUUAUAAUAAUCGUCUCCAGAAUUUGCAGAUUCAACGAGAGAAGUAUUUGCGCUCUACCAAUUUGCAUUCGAUACCGAAUGAGAACUAUGACUUCCCGGUGACGAAUAAUCGAAUCGGAAGAGAUGUGAUAGUGUGCGAGGAGUGUGUGAAGGCGAUGACGAUGGGAAAACCGGUUCCCUUCCACUGGUGCGUGUACGACGCCGUCACUGUAGGGUUCCGAUCACCGGCCGGACCAAUUGCGAGGCCUGUCAAACGUUCCAAUUAGGGUUUGAAGGUCCACGUUUUUAUUUUAUUUUAUUUUGUUAUUUUGAUGAUGAUGAUGAUGAUGAUGAUUUGAAUUGAACCCAAGGAGACUUCCGAUUUAGGCUUUCUGCUUAGGAACAGGAAACAAUAGUGUUGGGGGGUGGUGAUGGUGGUGCGAUGUGGCAUACGAUAAGGAAGGUAUACCACACGCGAUACCACAUAGAUUACAGAAGAUACUAGGACUAGGAAAUUAUACAAGUGUUGAUAUACGUGUAUGGAAAAACGCCCUUUGGGAAAGGGUCCAAGUUGACAGAUCUUUUUCUGUAUUUUUCUUUUUUUCUUUGGAUUCUUGAGAGAGUGAGAAGCUCUGCUUCAUUGCUUGAAAUGGUGAGACACACCACUUGGAAUUGUUUUCCACCCCAUUCCAUUUUCAGGAUCGUAACACUACUUUGGGAUUAGGCCCUACAGGAAUUUAAUUCCCAUUGGCGUUUUGAUUGGAAAUUUGGUAUAUGAAUGAAUUGUCAUCGUCUCUUUUCUUUUCUGGGUUCAUGGCUUACCAUUUUUACUUGUAUUUUAAUGGAAAUGUUGUAUUUUUUUAUAGUUUUGGUCAUAUUUUAUAUUGGAUGGUGGUGGUGGUGGUGGUUGUUGUUCUUGUUAUUUGUAGGAGAGGGGCCUUGUCAUGGAUGACUAAUUGGAAAUUAUUGGUGUUGGUUGGGAAUUAUAUUAUUGGCACAUUAGAAUUUUCAAUUUUUGAUAUUUUUUGUGAAGAUUAAUUGUAUUCUUGUAGUUUUUGGGUGUCAUGUGAAUUUUUCUGAGGGAGGCACAUGGCGCAUUCUCUAUCACAGAUGAAAUAAUGGCCACGGAUGGGAGGAGUUUGUCAGAAGAUAACUUAAGACUAAUAAAUAGAGUUGUUAAGAUGUAAAUUGUUACUAUAUGUGUGAAAAUAACAUAUGCAUGUGGUUAUUAUUAUGUGUACAGGCUCUUCUUUAGGUCUUAAUGAUGAUAAGGAUUUGAUAUGCAGUCUACUUAAUGGUAAUUACUAAUUGCCUUGAAAACUGACUUAAAAGAGUUCGCAGUAAAAUAUGAUUUUGACCUUUUUCAAAAAGGAUACAAGGAUCGAGGGAUAGUGAUUAACAUUAACAGCACUGAAAAUUAAUGAAGAUUUAAAAAAAUUAAAAAAAAAAUAGAACUCCGAAACAUAAUUUAUACUCAUCUUAGAAAAAUUUCUUAUAUUUUUUAGCAACUAAACAUAUUUAGAAAUCAUAAUGAUUAUCCAAUUACCAAUUUCCUACAAAUUACAUAUUAAUCAUUAUCAAAAUUUAUCAUAAUAAUAAAUUAUGAUAUCUUGAAAUAUUUGAAAUAAUGUUAAAUUACUAUUUUUUUAAUUAUUAUUUUUAAAAUUAAAAUAAAAACAAAUAUAAUAAUUAUGUUUAUAAAUAUUUUAACAUGUAAAAAUAAAUAGAUCUAACAUUUAACAAUCAAUAGUAUUCUAAUAUUAAUAAAAAAAUAAACAUUUAAUGGUAACUUAUAAAAACUACCUUCCAAUUAUUAUUAUUAUUUUUUUCUCAAUUUCUUAUCCUCUCAUUUCCCCUUCCUUGUGCAAACCAUUAAGGCUAUGUUUUGGUAGCAAAAAACAUCAAGAAAAAAAAAUACUUUUAUCAAUUUUAUUACAAAAACCACAAAAAAAAUAAAAUAUAAUUAAAAUUAGUUCUAAGUUUAUAUAUUUUAAUUAUUUAGUCCAAUGAGAAAAAUAAGUGAAAUAAGAUUAAAAUUUUAUAUAAAAAUAUUUUAUUAACUUUAAAUUUAUAUUUUUAUUAGGUUAUGUUUUAUGAUAAAAUAAAGUUAUCCAAAGAUCUUAAGGCUAUGUUUGUUUUUUUUAAAUUUUUGAAGGAAAACAAAUAGUAGGGAAAAAAAAAAAAAGAUAAUAAAUAAAUAAAUUUAAAUUUAAUAAAUUAUUUUUAUAUAUUACUUCAAACUAAUUUCACUUAUUUUUUUCAUUAUAUUUAAAAAUAAAAUAUUGUAAUAUGCGUAAAGUUUUAACUAAAUUUAAUUUUAUAUGUUUAUAUUUUUUAUAAUUAAACCACAAAAAAUCAUGUUUUUUUAACUAUUUUGUUUCUUUUCUCACUACCGUUUUGAAGCCAACACAUUCUCCAACAAUAUAAAUUUUAAUUCCAUAUUCAUCUUAACAUUCAACACCAAAAUAAUAAUAAUAAUAAAAUAAAAAAUCAUUUUCUUUUUCAAAAUUAUAGAUAUAAAUUUAUUUUACCAUAUUUUUCUUAUUAUUUUCCAAAAAGUAUUUUAAUAUCAAUCGUGUAUAGUAAAAUUGGUUUAGGUAUAUAUUUUUAUCUUACAAAUAUAUAUAUUAUGCUAAAAAACACGUGUUAAUAUUUUUCCCACUAAAACGUUAUAAAGUGUUUUUGACGUUGAAAAUCUUAAAACAAAUACUAACAUUUUAGUUUGGGAAGUGUUAUUAAAAAUAGGUUUCUAUUUUUUAUAAUAAAAAAUAAAAAAACACCUUUAACAAAAUUUUGAAUUAAAAAUAGUUAUUUUUAAGGAUUUCUUUACAAGACAUUGUUAUAUAAAUAAUUAAAAAUUAUUUAUAAAUACGAUUUCAAAAUUACUUUUUUGAGACCUCUUUACGUUAGUAAUGAAAAUCCUGAUUUUAAUAUUAUAAGUAAUCAGUAAUUAUUAGAAAUGAAAUCAGAAUUUUUUCUUAUUUUUAUUUUUAGUAUAAAAUUUUUGGAAUAAUAAUAAUAAUAAUAAUAUGUUCGCAUUACAUUUUCAGAAAACAAAGUACGCUAUUGGUUGGGUUUUUGAAUUAAAAAGCAAGUUGACAACUGUUGAACCGCAUCUUCUACCAACCAAGGGUCUAUGCCAGUCGACUGUACAUCACGUGCAUAUCAACGACCAUAAGAAAGCAGGUUUCAAGCCAAGAUUGGCGAGUGGGGGCUAUUUCCUACUCGAGAGCGUGCAGAAGGCAUGGAAAUAAGACAGAAAGGAGAGGGGGGUUUUGCUGGGGGUUUUUGAAGAGCCAAAACGGCAAAACGGGCGAGUUAGUGGAGAUUGUAGAGCGCCGAGGAAAUCGCAGAGGGGGAGUGGUCACGUGAGUGCAGUACUCUUUCUUUCUCUCUAGCGAAGAUGAAAGAGAUUGCCGUAGCGCGUAUUCCCUCUCUUAUUUCUGGAGAGAGAAAAUCGUAACGUCAUUUUGAAAGCUGAGCGCUCUCUCUCGGUUCUCUCUCUUUAGCCUCCCUCCGUUCCCCAGAUGAACAUUUUGGUUUCAAACCCUUGAAAUUCCCUCUCUUCUCUCAUCUUCUUUUGUCUUCUCUCGAAGUUGGGUUUUGCUAGGGUUCCAAUCCUUUGUUUUAUGCUUUUUAAAAAUGGCGGAGUUUCCUCCAAAUUUAGAUGAUGGAGAACUAUGGCUUCCUUCUGAUAUUUUCCCAGAGGAAGUUCCUUCUAAAUUUGGGACCCACCACUUGCCUUCUGAGUUCGCUUACAUGAGCGACAUCGCUCGGCAGUUUGCUGCUUUCACUUUGCUUCAGCCGCCCCAGACCCAUCCUAAACAUCCUCUAAACUUGGCACCAAACUUGGAGGUUACUCUCUGUCCCUUGUGUUCUCUAUUUAACUAAGCUUCAGAGGAUUUGCAUUCACGUUGAUGCUUUGAUUUGUGGGUUUGCAGCGGUUGAGACCGAUGAUUAGGUAUGGGCCGUAUGGCCGUCCCGGUUGUAGCACCACUGUUGCAGUAACUGGAAUUGGUGACAGCCCUUGUGUGUGUGACAGUCCUUGUGGGUGUGACUGCCGACUCCGGAGCUGCUGGGACGGUGGUAGGCCGUUGUACGAGUACCGCAAUGUGAAACCGCCUCAACCCCAGGUAAAAAAAAGGGGAAAAACUGCGAAAAGGACCGUUUGUGUUGAGUCAUUUCAAAGCUUUUCACUUUUUCAGCUUUAAUACACAGGUCGAUAGCUUUCUGCAAACAAGGACUUUGGCUCUGCAGAGGCACCAAAACCGCUUUCAGAACCGGUCUUUGCCGUUUCAGAGAAGCGGGUCUGGGUUGGGUGGUGGUGGUGGUGGUGGUGGUGGUUUUGGUUUUGUGAGAAACUAUGGAGGGACAGGUGUGUUUCUUCCCCGUAUUUCAUCCACAACCACCACUUCUCCAAACCCCACCGCCACUGAUGACUCUAGAAAGAAACAAGGUGAGUUGUUACCGUUUUUCUUUCUUUGGGCACUUUUGAUAUAUUUGGUGUGGAUAUCUGCGUUUUCCGCUUUAGGUCUGCUAUUAUGUCUUUUGUUUAUUUUAGUUCCCCAUAUUUUAUUGCUUUUGCUUGUCGCCUUUGUCUUCAAAACAUAGAACCAGCUUCAAAUUCUUUAUCUGGGUUUUGCUUCGUUGGGAAUCUGGAACCAUUUUUCUUUUCCUUUUUUUUUAUCAAAAAGAAAAUUACUUUCAGACUUUAGGAGGCAUUUAUUGUGGUGAACUGUUGUUGGUUCCAGUCUUCUUUCAGUUUUUUCUUUUGUAGUUUUUCAAAUCUCAGUCAAAGAAAGCACUAAUUUGCAACUGCUCAAUUCAGAUGCUUGACAGUUACUAUGUUCAUAACCUCCUGUUUUUCUUGAAUUUUGUCAUUUAUUUCGGUUAUAGUUUAAUAGUUUAUUGGGUCUGGCAUUUCUGUUGAAAUUGUUUUGUCCAUCUAUCAAUAUGAGCCUGCUGCCCAUGGUGUGGUGCCAAUGCAGCUUAUUAUAAUGCUUAACAAACCAAUGGACUGAAAUAUAUCUAAUAAAACUUUGUCGCCUUUCAUUACAAGUCUGAUAAAGAAGUCAGUGAAUCUAAUUGACAAACAAAAUGUCUUUAGCAAUCUAUAUGGAUUUCUUCUUCUCUUAUUCCACAUCUCUUUUGUUGAUAUCAUUAUUCCUUGUCUAUGGUUGCCUGGUCCAGAAUAUGAAAAUGAACAAUUUUAAGGAUAAUUUGCGAUAUUUUGUUUUCAUUUAUCUUAAUCUAAGGAUGAAACAUUGGCAGGCAUGAACAAUUGGCAUGGGAUGCAAGUCAGUUUACCGAGGAAACCAACCAUGAAUGGCAUUGGUGGGGGGAAACAAGAGGAGUGCAUCCGCCAGCUUCCUCCUGAGCUUGCCUUGCCUCAAGACUGGACCUACUGAGUUCCUCUUCUUCCUUGUAAAGAGUUACUCUAGUGGCAGUGUGGAACAUAAGGAAAUAAGAGCUCUAAGCAGGACAGAAGUCAAAUAAUCAUUUGGGUUUUGUGUAGAACUAAUAGAAAUUACUAUUAAAGCUGAAGUGGGUAAUCCUUUCUUUUAGUAAGGCUCUAUAACUUUGUAGAAUAAAUAAUGGGUUUGAAGCUUUUUGUAGGAAUUUGCAUUGUUUCGUUAUUUACAUUACUGUCAGCCCUCAGAAAACAUUGUUUCUGCCCUAUUGUUUUCUUCUUUGUGCAGUAUUGAAUGCUUAUAGCUGGAAUAACACAGCACUGCUAAAAGGACUAUUGCUUCUUGUGUUGGGCUUUCAGUUGGUGAAUCCAUGAAAGGCACAUUAAUGACUCUGCUGCAGUCAUGGAAUGUUAAUUGAAAUCUGCCAACCUUUAGGAAAUUUUUGUGUGUAAUUUUCUCAAGGCAAUUUUCAGUGGUGGAUUUUUGGGUUUGGAAUCAUUCAUAGGGUAUUGAUGAUUUUUUUCCCUCCAAGCAAAUGGUUUGAAUUGUAUAGUCUUUACAGCCUGUUCACAAUACCAGCUUUUAUAGGAAGGAAAUAAAUGAGUUACUUAGAUGCCAACUUGAAACCAACCUUACGAUGAAGUUGAAAGCUUAUGAAUAGGGAAGGGCUUUUUGUGGAAAUUUUUAUUACACCAGUCCGAACUUUAUGAAUUGUUUUUACUUUUUGUUUCUCUCUUCUAAGGAAAAUUUAUGAAUGCCCUCGCUCACUUCAACUGCCUUCAUUCUCAUCCUAUUUAUGCGCUUGAAGCAGAUACCCAAUUCACUUAAUGUAUGGUGUGCCCAUCCAUCUAAACCUAAUAUACCUUAACUACUACCCCAUAUGGGUUUUAUGGAGCAGUGUAUUUUUAAAAAAUUCAUAAUAUAAAAAAUAAUUCUAAAUUUAUGAUAUCUUUGAAUUUUGAAUAAAAUUGAGUUUACUUUUACAUUGAACUCCUUUUUUGAAAUGGGUGAAUUUAAUGUAAAAAAACAAGUUUAAUGUAGAAAAUGUAAACUUUUUUUUUUUUAAAUAUGAGUAAUAAAAAAAAAUUAAGUUCAAAAGAAGAAUUCAAUAUAAAAAGUUUUAAAGUUAAAAGGAAAUUCAUUUUCUUAAGAAAAAAGAGUAGAAAAAAUAACGAGUUUAGUACAAAAAUAAAAGAAGUGUUGAAAAGUUCUGUAUUUUUAUAUUUGUUUUUAAAUAAUUAUAUUUCAAUAAUAUUUUAUUUUUUAAAAUCCCCUAUUCUCAGGACGGUCACAUGAAUGCAUUUACAAAAAAAAGAGAAUUGUCGUUGUCAUUACAAUUGUUUUAAGAAAAUUAAUUUAUUAUAUAAAAAGGAAUGUUUUAAAUUUAAAUAAAAUUAUUUCUUUAAUUUAAAGAAAAUAUUUAAAUUAUUUUAAAAUUUUAUAAAUAUUAAUUUAAUAAAAAAAAAACUUGCUAUUUGAAUUUACAUAAAAUUGCAUUUAUUCCUUCCUUUUAAAAAAAAGUAAUAAAUGAAACAUGAUUUAUUUUAUUUGUAGAUAUGAAGGGUAUUUUUAUGUACAUAUGUCGUGCGAACCUUUUCGUUGUGACAGAGGAGGAGCCCAAUGUGCAUAAUAAUGACAAUUGUCCAUCCAAUUACAUCAAUGAUAUGGCAUAAAAAUACAUAAUUUUCAUUUUUUUCAAAUAUAUAUGUGAUGUAAUAUACAAAAAGUUAAAUGAUGAAAUUUAAUAAAGAGUAAUGUUUGCAUGACCGUGUACAUUAGUAAUCUCAUGAAAUUGAAGCUUUCAAUUUGACAGAAUGAUAUGUUAUUUUUUAUUUAUGAGAAGAUUUCAUCUCUUAUUUAGUAAAUUUGUAUUAAGGGUUUAGUGACAUUUUCAUAUGGAUUUAGUAAUCUGAUCUUUAUUUAUACACUUCUCGAUAGAUGAUAGCUUAAGACAAAUACAUUUCAUCUGGCAUACGAGGAGAUGAUUAUUACAUUAAAGGACUCGUCGAUCAUCCUUAGCAUCCUUAUAUCGAGUAUAAUCAUAUUUACCACAAUAUAUGAUAAUGAUCAUACUAUGACAUAACUAGUUAAUAGAAUACUUGAGUUGUUAAGUCUAAUGUCUAAAUAAAGUUAUACAUGUAUAGAAAAUAGUCAAUUUGUUUAAGAUGGUUGAGAGAGCUUUAUAGUGAUGUUACUAUGUAGACGAGUGAUAAUAGGGUCCAAUAACUUGCUCAAGAUACACUUACAUAUCUAUCUCAUUAGUUAAGCCUUAUGACACAACGAUAUGUCAAAUCAAUUGUUGGAUACACAACAUUACUUGAGAUAUAGUCAUAAACAUCAAUAUUUCUCUUAUACUACAUUAUCAUGCAAAAGAAGAGUACUUUAAACUCUCAUAGGGCUGGGGAUAUGGGUAUAUCCCUAUAUUUGGAUCUCACCAAAAUAUAUAAUUUGUAUGAUCCAUUAGGAUUGCUUUUGCCAUCUAUGCAAGAGCGAUUAGAUGUCCUAUCCAUAGAUAAUAUAAGACAUUGUAAUUCAUAUAUUUUUUUUCCCAUAUAUAUAUAUAUAUAUAUAUAUAUGUAUAUAAUGUGGUUGAAUCUAUUGUUCAUGCAUUUUUUUUAGUUUAUUUUGGAUCCCCAUAUAUUUAUCCAAUUUAGUUAUUGAGCCACAAAUUAUAUCAGACUGUCGAGUAAGAAUAGCAAUGAGACAAGUCUUUUAAGUUUGUUUCAUCUCAAUUAUAUGUAUAAUUAAAUAAAAAAGAAUUUAAUUCAACUUUUUUUUUUGGGUUUUUUUAACACAAAAUAAAAAUAAUUUAUUUUUUAGUAAAAAAAAUUAUAAAAAAUUACAACAUUUUUUUAUUUAUAAAUUAUAAUCAUUUUAAUAAAAUAAAAAUCUUUAAAAAAAAUAAAUAAAUGGGGCUAAGCAAGUUGAUUCGAGAAUUUUCACUAUCCACCACGAUUUUCACAAUACAUUGUGACUUACUUGGUUUAUUUUUUAUUUUUGGAUCGAGGACGAGAAUUGAUUUAAGUAAUUGAGGUGGGAUUAGGAUGGAAGUGACAUGUUUUGUUUUCAUCAUUGAGUCCUAUCAUCCAAAUAGAGAAUUGAUGUUAUUUGGUACGGUACCGUCCAAAGCAAGAGCACCGUUUUCACCUUUUAACCAUUAUAAAGGUGUUAGCAUGGUUAUGAAUGCAUACUUUGACUAGAUCUAAGAUCAUUUGGAUGAUUGCAUAUCAUAUGCUAUCAUGUAUGGUGUACUUGUGAUGUAUUCAUUAGAUUGUGCUCUUUAUUAUAUGCAUUAAUACAAAUGGGUCUCACUCAUAUGCGUACAAAAGCCAUAUUGAAGUUAGUGGCUAUCCUAUUUCAACAGCAUGUAUAAAUAACUAAGCACAUCGUGCAACUGACUUAGAGACAUGAAAUUAUCGUAGAAAUUUAGAAAUUGUUUGGUAACUGUCUUUUAAAAUAAUUUUUUGUUCUUUAAAAUGAAAAAGUAAAAAAAUAUUUGAUAAUUAGAAAACUAUUUUUUGUUUUUUUGUUUUUAAAAAUAGAAAAUAAAGUGUUUUUAAAAAACGUCUUUUAAUUGUUUUUAAUUAUUUUUUUAUGUUUUAUGAGGAUUAUUUUAAAAAAUAAUUAUAUAAAUAUGUAAAAUAAUUAAAAAUAAAGUAUUAAAUAUAAAAAUUAUUUUUAAAAAUAUUAAAAACAUUUCAAGUUCUCAAACAAACUUUUAUUCUACAAAACAUCAUAAAAUAGUUUUUAAAGAUUAUUCUAAAAAAUUGUUUUCGAAAAUAGUUAUCAAAUAAGGUCUUAACAUGAAUAAACUUAUACCAAAGCAUGGAACAUAUUGAAAAAUUAUUUUGGUCGCCUUUAGGGAUGACAAUUGAGCGGGUUUGAGAUGAGACACUUUUAUCCCAUGCUCAUCUUAAUCAUAUAAUUAUUAUGAAAUAAAAGCUAAUUAAUUAAGUAAAAACACUCCAGAGGAGGGUGAAUUGAGUUUUAAAAUUUUUUUUUCAAAAACUAUUCUCAGGUUAUAUUGAAAAAAAUUAAUAGAAAUGAAGAGAUGAGAGUUAAAGAGAUUGCAAACUCAAAUUUUAUAGUAGUUCAUCCAAUUUCGCCUAUGUCCACUCUCCUUAAGUUUUUUCCAAGUGAGGGUUCUACUAGUAUGAAGCUUCAAUCAAGCUUUCAAGUCUUUACAAUUGGAUUUCCCGGCUCUAAUGAACACUACAAUCAAUCCUUCAAGUUUAUCCCCUACUUCAAGACUAAGCAUUCAACCUUACUUGAAUAAUAAAGAUUUAAAGCACUUAAAUCUAGCACAAUUAAUAAACAAGUACAAAAAAGACUAGGAUGAACACAAAGGUACACUAGAAAUGAAUUGCAAGUGAUAGCUUAAUAUACAAAUGAGAUAAUGAGAGCUUUGAAAGUGAGAAACAAGUAGGUAGAUAGUUUAAUGUAGGUGUUCUCUUAUUAAUAAAUGAAUAAGAGCUCUCUAUUUAUAAGUUUUUAACCUCAAGCAUAAAAGUACACUAAUAAACUUUUCUCAAUUGAGUUUCAAUCAAUUGGCUGACUAGUCAGUAGACAAUUAAUGUUUGACAGGUGAUUAUUAGAGAUUCGACUAGAACUUGACUGGGAAGAGGUACCCAUCGACUAAGAAGACAUUUCUCUCGGUCGGGAGAGUAAUCUUUUUGGAAGAAAGAGAAAAUUUUUGCACCCCUCAAUUGGUAUUUGAUUGAGAAAGGGUAACCAAUCAACCAAUUCUUUAUUUGGUUCAGUAGGUUCAACCCAUCCUCCACCUAUUGGAUAUAUUUUGUUCAAAAACCUAUCUUUUUCCAUCUUUAAUAAUUUUUAUAAAACAAAUUUGAGAAGUUUUUUUACUAAGGUUUUGGAUUAAUACUUGAGUUUAUAAAAAAAUACGAUUUUUUAAGUCUAAAACGAGUAUGAAAAAGAUGCAUUUAUGAAUUCAAAUUCCUAAUUGCACCCAAGUGAUCACCUUACAUUGAGUCUCUAUGCUUUGAAUAAUCUUCAUGCUCUUUUGAACUUGCAUCUCUUAGAUCGUUAACUUGAUUUCUCAUUUGAAUUAUUUGAUUAAUACUUGAAGUUUAUCUUGAUUUGAAAUGUUAGUAUACUAAGUUAUCAUCAAAAUAUAAUUAGGGAACAUUUAGGCCAACAAUUAUUUUUUAUACUUGUCCCAAACCCAAAAUGGGAUGGGUAGAAGGAUUCUCGUUAAACAUAAUAAUCUUGUUCUUGGCACACCCCAUCAAACUAUAUCUUUGAUGUACCUCCAACUCUAAUUGGUCAUGUUCUUUCUCAAGCUUUAGUUUUUUUUUUUGUAAAAUAAGUAAUAUAAAAAAAUAAAAAUUUUGAUUAUAAAAAUUAAAUUUAUGGUAUAUGAGUUAUGCAUCUCUUAUAUCUUAACUUAAAAUUAAUAUAGAUAUAAAAAAGAUAGUAAAUAAUAUAUCUCACUAUUCAUCAUAUAAUAUGUUUAAUCAAAUAUGAAAUAUGUCAAAUGAUAAAAUAACUAAUCAUAUCUCAUAAUCAACAAAAAAAAUAAUAUAAUAUUUCACUUUUUAUUCUAUCAUAUUUUAUAUCCCCAAAACAAAAAAUAGCUAAAGAGAGAGCAGAUAAUUGUAAAGAAGAUGAUAUGAUAAGGUUAGAGUGUUGAAAAUUGUAAAUAUGAUGAUAUGGAGAUAAAUAAAUAAUUGAUGAAGAAUAUGUUUGGGAGUGAUUUUAAAAAACGUUUUUAAUAUUUUUAAUAUUUAAAUAAUAAAAAAUUUUAAAUAUUAAAAAUAUUAAAUAAUUUUAAAUAUUAAAAAUGUAAAAAAAGGCUUCUAGAAUCAUGACUUUAAAUUUUGAUUAUCCUUCUAUUAGGUUUUUGGUAGGAAGAUGGUAGGGUUUGCUUUAACAUUAGAAGUUACAAUGAUGUUUCAACUUUGACGCCACACGUGGCGUUGGCUUAGCCGCUUUGGUGCUGUAAUCGACUAAUUUCUUUAGGUGAAAGUUUAAACCAUGUGUUCAGUUACGGCCACGUGGAACCAGCAUCCUCGUUGCAUAAACGCAUGCACUUUCUUCCCCGGACAUGCCGGACGAGUGAAUUUUAAGGAAGGUUCGAUGUUUUAGGAAAGUUUGAAAAAGCAUCGAACGGGAUUCUGAGAUUUUGAAUUCCCUUGAUGAACAAAAUCUAUACAAUUUAAAAAUCACGCAACAAAUCAACCAAAAGAGAAAUUCCAAAGAAUCCAAAUCCACUCAACCCAUCCAAACAAAAUAAAUUCACAAAAACGACUCACAUUUUGGAAUUCACUUCAUCAAUCUCUGCGAUGGGUGUUCCUCAGGCCAUGCAAACCCUAAGCGAGAGAGCAGCAUUCACGAGGGAGUCUCUGCAAAAGAGCCAGACCAUCACGGAUAGUAUGGUCGCCAUUCUCGGCUCCUUCGACCACCGCCUCUCCGCUCUCGAAACCGCCAUGCGUCCCACUCAGGUGUUUCUUCAUUUUCUCCUCGUUUGGUUUCCGUGAAAAAUUCAGGAAAGGACAAGAAAAUGGAAAGAAGAUUGCGGGCUUUAUGAGUUCUGUUUUUUGAUUCUCACAAAAUUUGGGUGGAAAAAAAACACAACAAAUUGUGGAAUCUAGGGUUUGCUUCCGUGUUCAUUCGAUUUGUGGGUUGAAUUUUUUUACGGCCACAAUGAAAUCCUCCUGACUGCUUGAUUUGAAUAAAAAAUUGUUAAAAGUGUUUUGAUAUGUUAAUUUGGAUUUGAUUUUGGUAGAUAAGGACGCAUUCGAUUAGGAAGGCCCAUGAGAAUAUAGAUAAGACACUGAAGGCGGCUGAAUUGAUACUGGCCCAAUUUGAUCUCACCCGCAAGGUUGGUGUCUCUUUCCGGCUCCUGUUUAAAUUGAUUUUAUGUCAUUCUUGAUUUCAGUUUGUCAUGUUGUGUAUAUUUUAACAUAGUUGAAAUUAUUAUGAGCUAAUGAAUUAUGCUUAUUGCUUCACAAUUAUGUACAAUGAUGAGAAGCACUUCCAGGACUCUGCUUUUAGAUUUUCAUUCAUCUGGUUUGUAAUACUCGAUCAAAAGAUUUUGCAUUUCCCCCCCUGUUCGGUUAACUGAGAGAACUCAUUAACAUUUAUACAAAAUCACAUGCAGAGACAAGUGUUAGGUGCAAAAAUGAGUUGCGGAUUGAGAAAAUAGCCCAUUCUAUAGCUUGGUGGUAACUGGUAUAUCUAUUUCAUGCUUUUAAUGUUUAUAAAUGAGACAUAAAUUGGGGGUGAGGCCAGAUAACAGGAAGGUAACCUCCUUAUUGAUUGUGGUUGUAUCACAAAAGAGGAACCUUCUCUAUCUAUUGGGUGAUGGAAUCAAUGUUUUGAAAACCGGACUGGGUAGUCUGACCGGUUGGACCGUCUAUUGGUCUUCUUCUUAAUCUAGGUAGCCUCUUUCAGCUGUUUUGAAGUUGAACUGGUCAAGAACCGACCAAACUGGCUAGCUGGUUUUACCAAAUUUGGCCGUUUUUACCAAAACUGUUCAUCUUGGAUCUCUUGUCUAAAAAAGAGAACUACUACAACAAUUGGGCUGCACCACUCUUUUAAAUAUAUUACGAUUUAAAUUCUUUUUUUUUAUAUUAUGAUUUAAAUAAUAUUAUCUACCGGCUUAAUAAAUCCAUAUAAAAUGAAAAUUUUGAAAUAAAUAUGAAAAUAAUUUAGGUUAACGAAUAUAAUAAUUUUUAAGAUGAUAGAAUGUAGAGUAUGUAGUUGUUGAAAUCUAGAUUAAAUAAUAAAAGUUUAUUUCAUUUUGGAUAUAUCUUUUUAAUAAUAAAAUAUUAUAAUUUGAUCUAUUAAUAUUAAAGAUAAAAAAGAUGAGGAAAAUCUUUAAGUUUGGGACAGGUUGUUCAACCCUAAUCAAACCAUGACAUUAACAUCAUAUUAUAAAAAUAUAUAAUUUAUAUAUUAUUAAAAUUUAAAAUAACUAUAUUAAUUUAUAAUUUGAUCUAUUAAUAUUAAAGAUAAAAAAGAUGAGGAAAAUCUUUAAGUUUCUUAAUAUAUAUAUGCCAUUAAACUAGAAAUGCAAUUGACACACAGUGUAUAACUAUACAUGGUCUAUUAAUGGGAAAUGUCACACAUUGGAUAGGGGAGAAAGUUUCUGACGUUAUAUAUGUAUGUGCUCCUCUUAACCUUGUAGACGUGUUUUAAAGUUAUGAGGACCCCUUUGGGUCCAAAGCGGACAAUAUCUACAUGGUUGGGUGUGGGUCGUUACAAAUGGUAUCAGAGCCGAUCUUUGAUCCCAGAGCAGGGGUUUGUUUGGACUCAUAAGGGGUGUUUGUUUGUUUGACCCUAUAAUCCCAUGGGUUACAACGAGAACGUUGUGUCUGUAUAAGGAAGUAUUCAUGAUGUCCUACAUCGGAUAGGGGAGAAAGUUCAUGACAUUAUAUAUGUAUGUGCUCUGCUUAACCUUGUAGACCCGUUUUAAAGCUGUGAGGAUCUCUUUAGACCCAAAGCGGACAAUAUUUACAUGGUUGGGUGCGAGUCGUCAAAAUUCCCACUAAUACACUGUGUGUAGUUAUACACCAUGUGCCAACUACAUUUCUGGUUUAAUGGCAUAUACAUAUUAAGAAACUUAAAGAUUUUCCUUAUUUUUUUUGUUUUUAAUAUUAAUAGAUCAAAUUAUACCUUAAUAUAGUUAUUUUAAAUUUUAAUAAUAUAUAAAUUAUAUAUUUAUAAUAUGAUGCUAAUGUCAUGGUUUGAUUGGGAUUGAACUACUUGUCCCACUAAUACACCGUGUGCCAACAACAUUCUGGUUCAAUGGCAAGUUCAAUUCUGAGAACGUUGGUUACAAUCACCUUGGACUCUACUAUUCUAGAAGUUUGAAAUAGGUUUUAACCAAUGUAAGGCUUCUCUAUUCAUCAAAAUUGUGGACCAUCCCAGUCUUUCCCCAUAUCUUUAUGCAAGCCAAAAAGAUUGCAUAGACUUUUAAAUUAAUUAAUAAACUAAAUGAUAACUAGAGUUUAUUGUUUUUAUUAAAAAAAUGUAGGUUGUGUUUUUUUUUUUUUUUGGUUAUUGGAGGGUGUGUUUUAUUGGUUAGUGGAGCUAUUAAAUUAUUGUUAUCUACCAGAAGUUUUUGAACAUUAAGAUAGUGUCAGUCUUCUCUUCUCUGAAAACUUCGAUUUUUCCUUAUUGCGUGUGGUGAUUAACAUCCAUUAUGUAUGGUAGCUCCAAAACAAUACUUCAUAGCACAUAUGAUCUGUUUCUCUAUGUUGAUCUCAAUUUUUCUUCAACUUUUAGGCGGAGGCUAAAAUACUGAGAGGGCCACACGAGGAUCUAGAAAGUUACCUAGAAGCAAUGGAUCAACUGAGAAGCAUUGUUCAUUUUUUCAACUGUAACAAAAGUUAUAAGAGCAAUGCUGGAGUGCUUAAUCAUGUCAAUAACUUACUUGCAAAAGCUAACUUAAAGAUAGAAGAGGAGUUUAGACAGCUCUUGACAUCUUACAGGUUUGUUCUUUUGCAUAUACUCAGUGUUACUAUUAUUUAUGAUUUCUUGGUUGGAACCCUGGCAAUCUCAUUCCUGGAAGCAUUGUGCUUCACAACAAAUGUUUCCUGACAUAAAUUUUCUGAGAUGAAUGAAAAUUGGUUUUUUAUUUAUAUUUUGUUUCUUGUGCAUGAAACAUAUUUUGGACUUUUGGCAAGUUCUAAUUCUUUCAAUCAGGGUUGAGUAACUGUCUUUUCAUUUGUAGCUGCUGAAGUUGUAUCUCUUUUGGAUUUCAGCAAACCAGUGGAACCUGAUCGCCUUUUUGAUUGCCUCCCCCACUCUCUACGACCAUCAUCAGGGUCUCCUGGGCAUCAGGGUGAAGCUACUGGCAAGAAUCCUUCUUCUACCAAUCACUCUGAGCACAACAAAAGCUUAGAAACUGCUGUUUACACUGCUCCAACUCUUAUUCCACCCAGGAUUCUGCCAUUGCUGCACGAUUUAGCCCAACAAAUGAGUCAAGCUGGUCACCAACAACAACUCUACAAAAUUUAUAGGUGAGAUUUUUUUAUUUUUUUUUAACUCUGUUUCUGAUGCAUUAACAUUGCCCAACAAUUUCUUUUCCUAGUAUCACGGAUUUUUAUUUUAUACACACACACACACACACACACACACACACACACACACACAUAUAAUAGAAAUAUAUUUGAGAAUUGUCAUCAUUGAAUCCCACUUCAAUGCUAUUUUUUGUUUUUAUUCUAUCUGUAAGCACAUGGUAAGCAAUCUAAAGUGAUUCUUGUUUGUAGUUAUCAUUUUUGUUUUGGAUAGGCACUUUGCCUGUAGUCAUCAUCAAUUUCUUCAUAAGCUGGGAAAAUUGAUAGUUAAUAUGUUUAUAAUCAUGCAGAGAAACCCGUGCUUCAGCUUUGGAACAGAGUCUCAGGAAAUUAGGUGUGGAAAAACUUACUAAAGAUGAUGUCCAGAAGAUGCAGUGGGAAGUUUUGGAGGCUAAGAUUGGAAAUUGGAUUCAUUUCAUGCGGAUUGCUGUAAGGGUUUACUAGGAACUGGAUAGGAUUAUUUGUGUGUGUGUGUGUGUGUGUGUGUGUGUGUACGUAUUUUCUCUUAAUCCAGCCAUUUCAUCAUGCUUGUAACAGGUCAAAUUGCUAUUUUCUGGGGAAAAGAAAGUCUGUGGUCAAAUAUUUGAUGGUGUUGAUUCUCUCAGGGAUCAAUGUUUUGCAGAAGUUACUGCAAACAGUGUAGCUGUGCUCCUUAGUUUUGGAGAUGCUAUUGCCAAAAGCAAGAGGUCCCCUGAAAAAUUAUUUGUUCUCUUAGACAUGUAUGAGAUAAUGCGAGAACUGCAUUCAGAGGUAUGAUUUAUAUAACUAGUUGCAUAAACACUGAAUUAUGGAUACUAAACUAGCCAGCAGAUUGGAAGUUGAUAUUGGUUAUGUGAAGUUUUAGUGAGCUGCUUCUAAGGUUUCCCAUAAUUUUGGAGGAAAAGCUUUGUUGCAAUUAAUGGAACCUAUAUGAAACUACUUGAGCUGUCAAUAGGCAGACAACAUAAAACAAUUUUCAUCAUUGCUUAGGAUAGAAAAUUUGCACUUUUUCCUCCAAUACCACUUGUCUCCUAUUCUUAAAAUGUGCAAGGUGCACCUAAGUUGGAAAAGUCUCCUAUGGCUUAGGCACGAGGUGCAGCACAAGGCAUGCACCUGAGUGAAGUGAAAUGCGAGUUAUGAUGUAUAGCAAUUUUAUAAAUAUGAUCCAAAAUCCAAUCCAAUCAACAAAAAACUUGAGAUUUCAAAUAUUUAAAAGAAGCAUUCAACAAAAAAGUAAUGAAAUAAUAUAAACUUCAAUAUAUAGUUAAAUUUUUUAAGAAUAAAAGUGUUUAAAAAGGAAGGGUAAAGUAGAUGAGGUGUGGCUCUCCUACAAAGUGCAUGCCUUGGCAAGUAAAGCACUAUAACUGGGGAUUAGUUUUGCCCUGAGCCUAGGCAUGCUUUAGGCGUGCCUGUUACAACUAUUUGUAAAUGAAUAGCAUAAAUAAAUGGCUUAAAGGGUUUUAACAACAAAGAUCAAAAUUCAGUUUGUUUCAUCACUGGACUAUUAGCAGAUAAUGCUUAAUUGCUACUAUGUCGGUUGUAAAAUGAAUUUGAGUGAUUCACAGCCACACCCACAGAUAUAUACACAUAUCAAGAAAUCAUUCUUGUUUGUUAUUCAUAAUUGGUUGUUCUAUUAAACAUGAAGUGUACUUUGGGAACAGAUGCAGAUUGAUAUACAUAUGUAUUGUUAAACUAAUGCAGAUUCUGUUUCUUUCUUCUUUUUUGCCCCUCUUGGGGUGUGGGGGUGGUAUUGGUGUUCAUGUUGGGGGUGAGUGUAGAUUGAAACAAUAUUUGAAGGUCAGGCCUGUGUCGAAAUGCGGGAAUCUUCAUUGAGUUUGACAAAGCGGCUAGCUCAGACGGCCCAAGAGACCUUUGGUGAUUUUGAAGAAGCCGUAGAAAAAGAUGCCACAAAAACUGCUGUUCUUGAUGGAACUGUGCAUCCUUUGACAAGCUAUGUAAUUAAUUACGUGAAGUUUUUAUUUGAGUAAGUCUAUAUAACUGUGCUGUCCAUCUCAUGCUGUUGAUCCUUUCAUAGACAGAAUCUAGUAAAAGUAUAUGUUGCCCUAUUAUUCCUUGAUAUGUUCAUCCACUUCCAAUGAAUUAUUUGUCUUGAUAGAUUUUGGAAAUGUUUCUCUGGUCUGUUGAAUUAUUCCUUAAGGUUUGUUUUUUUAUUUUUUUGGACUUAUUCCUCCUGACUAGUUCGUUCAUGGAUUUGAACAUUCAAAAUCCAUUAGUUUAUGUUUUCAAGUGUUUCAGUACUCACUUUCUGUUUUCUAAUGUCAUGUUAUUGCAUCUAUUCCCCUGUUUGGGUUAAUAUGCUUAUAUAGCUCUAUUGCACUUUCAUUUGGUAAUGUCUUGUUUCCAGAAUAUCUGACUAAUGGAUAUCAAAUGUGCACAGCUAUCAAUCGACAUUAAAGCAACUCUUCCAAGAGUUUGGUGAAGGGGAUGCUGAUGCUCAAUUAGCAUCUGUGACAACACAGAUUAUGCUGGCUCUUCAGAAUAACUUGGAUGGGAAAUCCAAGCAAUAUAAAGAUCCUGCAUUGACUCAAUUAUUUCUUAUGAAUAACAUUCACUACAUUGUCAGAUCAGUGCGAAGGUUUGUUAUAUCUUUUUAGCUUGAUUGUUGAUCUGAAUUUAUGCUGUGUAAAUAGUUUCUCCUUUUUAUUGUUCUCAUCCUUAGGUCAGAAGCAAAGGAUUUGUUGGGGGAUGAUUGGGUGCAAAUACACCGAAGGAUUGUACAGCAGCAUGCAAACCAGUAUAAGAGGGUAUCUUGGGCAAAGGUUUUGUUCUUUGACCAAACUUGAUAUAAAAUGUCCAUGAUUUGUUACUAUUUUUCCAGUGCAAUUUCUUUUUCUUAUUUAGAUGUUGUUUGUUUUUACCCCACAAUUCUACUAGCUUUAUAGAUGUGAUGUGUACCUCUCUAUUCCUGGAAUAUGAUCUUCUGAUCCUGUAUAAAUUUUCUUCUCCAUUGCUCACUUAGAACUGUCAUGAUACUGUUUGUUCUUCACCAAGGGUAAGGUUGACACACACAAAAGAUUCUUCUGUCUUUCCCUUAUUAUCUGGAUUCUGUUGAUGAGUAAGGGAUGACGGACAUGCUGGACACUAUACUGCCACAGACGCAUAAACAUAAGACAUAUUUAUCUUUCAAGUGUCUAUCUUAUGCACAUGGGUUAGUAGGCUUUGUUGAUAGAGCAGCAUGAUAAUUAUUGCGGCCUUCUAUAUGGUCUGGAUUUUUUGAAUUUAGAGCUUGCGUACAUUUAUGUAUGUUAAAUCUUCCCCAAUACUCAUUAUAUCUUUGUAUGCACUUAACUAGUUUCGUAGACAUCUUGAUACUGAUCUUCCUAAAAAUUAAGCUUCGUUGGGGAUUAUAAUUAGUUCUGGAUUGAGAAUCAUUUGGCAAUAUUUGCUGCUUACUCUUAUGGUAUAUAUCUCUAUAAGACAAAUUGCUUAUAGUUGUAGGUUGUUGGAAAUUGUUUGUUUCCAUUGAAUAAAUUGCAAGACUAUAAAUUUUAACCAUUGAUUGGACAGCAAUGUGAUAAAUGUCAUGCUGUAUUACAGUUUGGACAUGAAGCCCUUGUUUUGUUCAUGGUCCCUGAUGUAUCUUGAUAUUCAGCUAUAAAUAAAUACAAGAGGCAAAUAUUUGAGAAAGCCAUUGAAAUGUAGCCUUCUAAGAUUGUGUUGUACAGACCUACAUUAUUGUUUCUGAUUAGCAUCACUUCAAAUAUAUGCUUGAUUUUGUCUCACACUUCUGCUAGGAAAGUUAAGUAUCAAUCACGCUAAGCCACUGAUAUUUCUUGCUCUACAGAUUCUGCAGUGUCUGUCCAUUCAAGGUGCUGCUUCAUCAGGUGGUGGUGGUGCGAUUGCAGAAGCUGGUAGCGGCAGUGGAGUUUCAAGAGCGAUGGUGAAAGACAGGUACAAGACCUUCAACAUCCAGUUUGAGGAGCUUCAUCAAAGGCAAUCUCAAUGGACAGUUCCAGACAGUGAGUUGCGAGAGUCAUUGAGGCUGGCAGUUGCUGAAGUUCUCCUACCUGCCUACAGAUCUUUCAUUAAACGUUUUGGGUAUCUGUUUUCUCACACUCGUGACCUGUUCUUCUAAAAUUCCUGUUGCUUCCUUAUCCCUUGAUUGUUCAAAUGUGGUUUGGGUGUUACAGGCCUAUGAUUGAAAAUGGGAAAAACCCGCAUAAGUACAUCAGAUACACUCCUGAGGAUCUUGAGCACAUGCUGAGUGAAUUCUUUGAGGGGAAGACCCUGAAUGAACUAAAGCGGUAAAUAUACUCAAGAAGCUCUCAGUCCAUGUGAUGGCUAACACUGUUUUAUUCUUUGUACUAUGAUGCGAUCAAAUAAAAGCUGGGGUAGCCUUCCUUUCCCACUGAACGCUUUUAUUAGUGUUCUGAAGUUCUGUUGUUAUUUAACUUAUUCUUAUUUUUAAACUGCUGAAGUAUAUUUUCUGACUAGGUAACUUGAAGUAUGACUUAGCUAUAUGGGUUUAUUCUGGUAGAUUUCUUUGGGCAGAAUUUGGGUAUAUCCAAACUUAAGGCAUACCCCAUCCUGCUAAAAAUUUGUUAAGAUUUGGAAAUAGGGUAGAAAAGAAAAAAAAUAAAAUAAAAAAUAUAUAUAAAUAUAUAUAUAUAUAUAUGGGAGAAAAGUCAUGUUUUUGUUUGAUUAUGGAUAAAAAUGGGAUGUAAAAAUUGAUGAAAAUUUGAUGCAUUUUGUAACUCUUCAUUUUGUUCUUGGAAAGUGAGAGAAUUUAGGAGAUGAGUAUCGGAAAUUUUAGCAAAUUCAAAUAUAGAAUUUAUUUUCUAUCUUGUUAAUUUUGCAUUUAUAUUCUUUUUUUACUGAACCUCCUUUAUCUUUUCUCUUACAUAUACUAAAAAUAAAUACAGUGGAGAAGGAAAAAAGAAUUAAGUAAAUAAGAUACGAGUUCAAGAACCAAAAAGCCAUCUUUUUCCAUUACAUCUCACCAUUCAAAAAAGAAAAAGUAGAAUUUUGGGAACCUAAUUUCUUUUUUGGAAUAUUAAGCAAAGCAAAAUGGCAAUGAAAAGAGGUUUAUGUUUUAUAUUCUGUCUUUCCUAACCCUGAGUACAUAUGUUGGUGUGUGUAAAUUUGUGGCCUCUAGAUGCAAUAUAGUGUGCCUUGUAUGAAAAAUAUAAAUGUUAGCCCAAGGGGUUCUCCUAAUCAAGUUUUGAUGAUAACAAAACAGGUCUAAAGUUACUAAGGGUUAAAUCAAGUUAAUUGCUUCAAGUUUUCUUGAAAAAUUAAAGAAAGUUCAAACAACUCAAAUAGAAGAUUCUUGUUAAUGGAAAUUUGAGCUUAUUGAAGACUUAAGAAGGCCUAGGAACAAUUGUAAGGUUGUAUUUAAAGAUGAUGUGGAAUUUAAAUGAUUUAAUCUUGUUUUCUAUAUCAUCUGAAUCAAAAUUUCAUCUUCUAGUUAAACUUUUUGAAGAAAGGAGUCAUCACUUGAACAUUUUUUUAUUUGGUAGUUAUAACUUGAACUGUUACUAACAAAUUGAAAGGACUCACAAUAUAUUUUAAAUUUUGAAAAUGACCAUGUUCAUGUUACAACUUGCAGUAUAAACAAUUUGCAAAGCUUAAAAGAUGAAGUAGAUUAAUUCAAUUUUUUUUAGGUGAUCGUGAAUGCUUCCUAAUUAAAUUUCCUUCUUGUAAACCAUUUUAAUUAUGCUUCCAGGUGCAAAUAAAAUAUCCUCUGCUGCUCAUAACAGGUUCUUAUAGUCAUGAUUCAAUAAAUGUUUGUAGAGACCUAGUUCCUUUUGAGGAAGUGGAUUGCAACAUGGCCAGUGAUGUAAGAGUAACUGGUGUUAGAACUGAUGUUGAGGCAAACUGUUCCUGUUAUGCACAUGGUGCCAAAAAGAGAGUUUGGGAGCCUCAUUGUCUUCACUGAGGUCCAAAGAAGUGAAGGAAAGCCAUCAAAUUGGCUGCCAGUUAGAUUCCAACUGGGAUAUUGUUUCGGGAAAUGGUAAAAUAGAUAAUGCAUGCUUUGCUGGAUGCUCCUUGGGAGCUACUAGAAAUGAAUCUUUGGCUGAAUUUUCCCUAGGGAUAUUCUGGCCAGGAGCUAUGUAGAGAAGAAUGUUGAAGAUCGUAGGCCACUAUCAAAAGAGCAGCUCGGUGCACUUGAGUCAUUAAAAUUUUUAAUGCACUUAAGCUUUUAAAAAUCAUCCUUUCUUGAACUUAAAUCAAUCACAUCUUCAUCAGGUCAGAUGAUUUCAUGUUUUUUUAUCAAACCCUGAUUUUAAUUCUUUCAAAAUAUGCAUUAAAGGGUUUAUAUGGUGUGUAAGAUUCUUUCCCAGAGGUUUCUGACCUCGGUCUAGCCUUUUUUCUUUAGUUAUAGUGUAACUGGUCAAGACAGGGAGGAAUUGGUUGAGCCAAAAAGGCUCGAUCAGUCAAGGUGCACAAAAUGCAUCUCUAACUUCUAGUAGCAUUUUUUAACUGGUUACGGUAGGAGGCUCAACCAGUUGCUCAAUCGGUUGAGGUCUAGAACCCCAACAGUCACCUGCAAGUACAUUUAAUGUACAAUUGCCAAUGAACUAGUCAAACCGAUUGCUUGACCAAUCAAGCCUAAGUUAUGGGUUCUUGGGUUUCAGAGCUACUCACCUAUAUAUUGAGUCUUUUAAGAGCAUUUAUGAACAAGAGAUUUUGAAAUUGGGAUAAUUUCCAAAUGGAUUUUGAAAUCAUAACUUGAAUUUCCAAAUCAUUUCGAAAUGGUCCUUCAGCCUUGUGCAGUUGUCUUCAAAUGACCCUAACUUCUUCAUUUUAGCUCCGAUUUAUGCACCGUUUGAAGCAUUGGACUCUUGACUUCCCGAGCUUUGAAACAAUCUAUAGCUUGCCCAAAAUUGACCUUGGGAAGUGCUUCAGAUUUUACCUUAAAGUCAGAGUAUGUGUUGCUGCCAGAUUUUGAAUUCUAAAUUUCCAUGUCAACUUGAUUGCAUUUGUUUCAAACCUCCUCCAUUAUAGUUGCUUGCCCUUUAUCUCACUCCAUAACAUCCGUUGCUAGUAUUUUAUGUCUAUGAGUCACUCAUCACGCCCUUGCUUGGACUCGUCAUGGUUCACAAGUCCUGAAUCUCUUCUUUAUGCAUGUUUUACCACUUCUACUUCCUUGGAUGAUAAUGAAUUUUAUACUCAUCACAUUUUUCAUCCCUUAAACCUGAAUUAGGCUCAAAAUAGAAGUUAGAUCCAUAACUAGGGUCUUAGCAUCAAUUUGAUUUAAGUUGGAUGAUUUGAGUUUUUUUAUAUUCCAUAAAUCAUGUCAUAUAUGUGCUAUUGGAGCACAUAUUUUGGCUCUAAUCAGGUCUCAAGUUGUCUCCUCGAGCUUGGUUUGAUUGUUUUACCAAAGCCGUAAAGAGGUUUGGCCAUUCUCAGUGUCAAUUUAACCAUACUCUAUUUGUAAAACACACACCUGAGGGAAGAACUGUCGUUAUCAUCGUUUAUGUGGAUGACAUAAUUCUGACCAGAAACCAUAGGGAAGAAAUAGGCAAACUCAAGAGUUUUCUUACCUAUGAAUUCAAAAUUAAAGACUUGAAGAGUCUUAAAUAUUUUCUUGGGAUGGAAAUUGCUAGAUAAAAAUAAGUAUUGUAGUCUCCCAACAUAAGUAUGUUCUAGACUUGCUAAAGGAGACUAGGAUGCUUGGUUGUAAACCUACAAACACAUCUAUGGACCACACUAUUAAACUAGGAAUUAUUGAAGGAAGUUCUCUAGUGGAUAAAGGGAGAUAUCAAAGAUUUGUGGGGAAACUCAUCUCUCUCUCACACACAAAACCAAAUGUUGCUUUUUUUAGUCAACGUGGAUAGUCAAUUCUUGAACAAUCCAAUUGAGGAAUAUAUGAAAGUUGUGUAUCGUAUUCUAAAAUAUCUCAAAAUGACUCUAGGAAAGGGACUUUAUUUCAAAAGAGCACAAAAAAGAAACAUUGAAUUUUUUUCAAAUGUAGACUAGGAUGGUUCCGUAACCGAUUGAAGAUCAAUCUCAGGAUAUUGCACCUAUGUAUGGAGGAAUUUGGUUACUUGGCGAAGCAAGAAAUAGUCUAUUGUAGCUCGAAGUAACGCAAAAGUAGAAUUUAGAGCUAUGACACAUGGAAUUUGUAGAGGAAUGUGGUUAAAGAGACUCUUAAACAAGCUGAAAAUUUUAGUAGAAGAUUCUGUAAAGAUGUUCUGUGACAAUCAAGUUGUCAUAAUUAUUGCUAAGAACCUGGUUUAUCAUUAUUAGAAGAAGCAUGUAGAAAUAGACCGUCAUUUUAUAGGGAGAAGCUAGAAGAAGGGAGAAUUUAAUUGGUUUACACUCCAAUAGCUCUCUACAUACCAGACAUCCUUACCAAGGCACUUUCUAGAACCAACUUUGAAGAUUUGAGAUUCAAGUUAGGAAUAAUCAACAUUUACAAUCUAGUUUGAGGGGAUGUGUGGAAAUUUAGAAUUUACAGCUGGGUUAACAACCAUGUUAUAGCUACAACUAUGUUACAAUUAUAUUAUAGUUGUGUGAUAGCUAGGGAUUCAAAUGUUGUUUUUUGUUUCAGCGAUAUUUUGUCGAUAUAUCGUGUAUGAGUGUAGCUUGACAUGAUAACGGGCAUGGAUAUCUCGACUGAGAGAGAGAUCAUUUUUUCUUGCCAUUUAUUGAGGGUUUUUUUGGCAAAGUUCCAGAUUUGCACCAAUAUUUCAGAUAUAUCAACAAUUUUCAGCCACGUUAGCAUGUUGUGUCAGCGAUAUUUUUCAGCUUUUACUUAAAAUUUUUGAAAUAUGGGCCUGAAGUAAGAGACACCCAUUUUUUUUGUGACAACUGAUGGAGCCUAAUUUUACAUGUGAUGAUACUUGGGGCACCAACACUUCAAAUAUGGGAAUGUUUUCUCUUCACUUUCAUGCAAGUUAGGGAAUUGAUCUUGAGACCUUAAGAAUGAAAAGGUUUGUCCUUGCCACCAAACUAACUAUACUUUGCUUAUACAAGCACAUAUUAAAAUAUAUAUAUAUAUAUAUAUAUAUAAAUUACUUAAAAUAAAAAAAAAUGAGUUAAUUUUAAUUAUGUCUUUUAUAUAAUAAUUAGGUAUAAGAUAAAUAUAAACUUAUAAAUAAAAUUAUCAAUAUUUUUAAAUAAAAAAUACUAACAUAUCAUCAUUUCUUUUAUAUCAUUUGAAUAUCCAAACUAAAUAUAUUAUCAUUUUAGUUUUUAUGUAUUAUCAAAUUCAAUAUAUUAUUGUCAAAUAUUAUAAUUUGUUUUAUCGAUAUUUUUAUAUUAAAGUUUCCAUCAAUAUUUCCUUAUAUAUCCCGAUAUAUCCAUAAAAUCUAACUACUGAUAUAUCCAUGAACACCGAUAUUUUCAUCCUUGGUGAUAGUUGUGUUAUAGUUGUGACACAACUGUGUUGUUGUAUUUCUAAUUUUAACUUACUCCCUUAUUUUAUUUUGUGAGAGAUUUUUUCUCCUAAAAUAAAAAAUUAGAUUUCUUUUCUAAGGCAGAUGACCUCAAUCGUUUGUGCAUAAAUAUUGGUACUAUAAUCAAUUUGCAAUAUAGAGAAAAAGUAUUUUUUUCCCUCAAAUUUCUUUAGUUUUUAUAGAUUUCUUGUUACAAGUUUAGACUGUUAUGAUAGUUUUAAAUGUGUGGAUGGUUUUCUUUUCCUUCCAUAGAAUAUGGUAUAUGAAAUGCGCAAGUUUUCUAUCUACUUUUGGUAUAAUUUGUUUAUAUGGAUAUGGAUUAACCAUGUAGUACCACCUACACUAUUUCAUCAGUACUAGUGGAAUAUGGUAUUGACUCAUAGCUGCCAUCAACAAUUCAUUCCACUAGCCAAAUCACCCAUAUUGUGCCAUCAAUCACAGGUUCCUCAAGCAUGUUGAAGUGUCUAUUAUAUGUCUUAUAGCAUACUGUCAGAAAUGUAAUUAUAAUAGGAAAUUAUUUUGUUGAGUGUUUUUUCUAUUAGUUUUUCUUUUUUUUUUAGUUAAAUUUUUGUUUCCAUUGGGACUUGAACCUGGUAGCUCCCACAAACCCUCCCCAACCCUUUACCACUUGAUUCCAGCCCCAAGGGUGAGUGUUUUCUCUAUUAGUUAUUACACUGUCGAGGACAUUUGACUUAAGAUACCAUCUUGUAAUGUAAACCCAUCUUAAGUCCUCUUCUAGUUCUUCCUAAUACAUUGAGAAAUUCCUUUUUCCACUAGAUGCAGGUUUUUGAAUUCUGCAUGAAUAAUGAUUGGUACCAUAUUAUGUUAGGCGAUUGGUACCAUAUUUGACCUUAGAAUCCCUCCUCCCCAUCUACCUGCAUGAUUUAAGGAUUAGAGAGUGCAACUGUGACAGUUUUGUGCUUUCAGUGGAGAUGCUAUUAAUGAAGUUGGUCCGCACUAGUAAUAGGAUGACCAAUAAAUGCAUUUUGGGGUGAGGUCAAAUUGAAAACUGAAAACAAAUCCAUCUCUGGCAGCUGUCUUGCCUUACUUUUGCCAAAAAAAGCACCCAUUUCCAUGCUGAAGCACCAGCUACUACUGUAGAGGGCCUCUAAUCUCCAUACACUAUGUGAGCAACUUAUAAUCAUUGUUUCUGUUUCUGUUUCAUUGUAAAUAAAUUCCUAAAAUGAUAUGGCAAUAAUUUUGUUUGUGAGUCAUAUUCUAGGCAAUGAAGAUCACAUGAAUGAAAUGAAGUUAUUACAAAGUUAGAAAACAGUGGUAAAGAUAAGGUUAUCUCAUGUUAUAAUAUAUGUGCACACAAAUGCAUUUUAAUGAAAAAGUGACAUAUCUGAUAAAAGAAAAAGGAAAUCUUUUCCCGUUGCCCCUUCAUCCAUAGUCCUUUUCUUGGCAAAUAGCAAUGCACUCAGACCAAGCAUAACUGAGUCAUAUCUUAAGUUACCUAUAUAUGUAGAUGCAUACACAUUCUAUUUUCUUUGGAGAUGUUUUGAAUCUCCAGAUCACUGAAACUCUCUCUUGCUUUUGGUUGGUGCUCUGAGCACCUUGUUGCUGCCAACUCAACAAACACUAAAAAGAUGACAAGAUGAUUUUGAUGGUUAUUUACUAAGCUUGCAGUAAGAUAAGGACUUUUCUUUUUAUUACCUUUCCUUCCUAUUUGGUCUGUGAUUGACAAGGAAAUAAAGAUAGUUCUUGAUUAUAAUCAGGAGUGUCUUUUUCCUUCUUCAAUCUCAGACUACACUUUAUUCUUCAUUUCUAUUUGCCUCUUUUUGACCUAAGAAUCUCUCUCUCUCUCUCUCUCUCUCUUUCUCUCUCUAGUGUGUUUUUUGAUUUCUAAUGAAUAUCACACUCUGAGGAGAAUGUCUUGAAGCUGAAUGCCUCAAGUAAAAGGGAUGAUUCAAAAUAGACAAUUACUACUUGAAAAGGCUCUCAUAAGAAAAAAUGCAUAUCAGAAGCAACAUCAAGGACACUGCACUUAUAAAUGCUUUACAAUAAUAUUAGCUGGGGAAGAAGUGGCAUCGGCAAAGUGGAAAGCAAACAAUUUCUGCCUGAUUUUGGAUGCAGAAAAUUUGGUUAUUUUUUAGAAUUACUAGAGAUGGUGUCAUUGACAAUUGAGGGAAAGGAAACAUUGGAGAGAGCAGCUUUACCUAGAUGCUUUAACUGCUAGCAAAACCAAAUACUCAACCAUAUGAUGUUGCUCAGGUGAAUGCUGAUCUGAAACUCAAUAUGACCUGAUAAUUCUUAGUUCCGUCUUAUCUAUUGUCCUGUAUUUUUUUUUUCUUUUUAUAAUGCAAAUUGAAUAUUCUUUGUUGACUGAUAAUUUGAUAGAUGUCUGACAUGUCAUGAGAAAACACCUGCUGAGAGAUCAAGCAGGAGAACAGAGAGGAUCCAUGCUGUGCUUUGACCUCAAGAACCAAAGGAGUUUAGUAGUUGGAGUUAUUGAAGAAACCAAAAAAAAAAAUUAUGGUGAGAACAUGGAAGAAAAGCAUAAGUUGCAUGAUUCUAGGUUUCAUUGACAGGACAUGAUUAUUAAAUUGGAGAAAGAAUUAGAGGCUAAGUUAUUUACACUAGACAUAUAGCACAAAUGGUUAAGUUUUCUUAAUCUGUAAAAAAGUGAUAAUAUCCUUAUAAAUGUCUCACAUUUGAUCUCAUGUUUAACUAGUAAAUUUCAAGAAAUUAGUUAUAAAUCUUCCAUUGAGAUGCAAUUAUAUUGAUAACAUUUUGCCUUUAUAUUUGGUUUGCUGUAGAAUUACUUUUUAUAUCAGAAGUUGGUGGAAAAAUGAUAUUUCUCUUUCUGGGAUAAGGACAUGGUAACAUUCUCCCAACUUCUGCCUUAGAUCCUUUGGCUGCUUCUGUGUUUAAUUGAUGUUAUGAAUGAUGUAAUUGGGGAGGGUAAAGUAAAUUGGAUUGUAACAAUAAUGACACAACUUUGGCGCUCUCUCUCACACACAGAUGCUCGGUUGCUCACUCACUCAUAUGUGCAUGCUCACAUGCACCGAUAGGUUUUUAAAUGUUUAAUGCUAUUAUAUUUGACUAGUUUGUUUAAGAAUUUAAUUUUACUAAUAAUUGUCUCUCACGUGCUUGUCCAAUAUUUAUAUGUAUAUAUCUGUAUCUCAGGCACACAUAAUUAGGUUGAUUAAAGGUUUGUUGCUACUAUAUUUGCUUUGAGGUAGGUUUUCUUGGCCUUCAUCUUUGUCCCUUAGCACCUUGAACUUGAAUCAAAUCACUCCUCCCACUCUAAUUCAUUUUUUUCCAUUGCAGCCCACAUUCAAAAUACCAAAGCCUUGCAAAUUGAAGGUGAUAGACCCAGGUAAAUCUUUGCACUGAUUCUGUUUCUCAUUAAUAGUGAAUCUCUGUCAUCCAUCACUACUCAAAGAGGUUCAUAUGUUUUUGCUUUUUCUUCAAGUUUCAUAUUGUUAUAGGGUUUUAUUUGUUCAACUUAGUCAAAAAUUUCACUUGCUUAUUCUGUUAGAUUCUUACAUCAAUGGAAAUUUCUGGGUGAAAGCAUACUUCGCCUGCUCAGCUUGCCACUUGGGGCAGCCACUUCACUCACAGAUUAGCAUUUCAGGUUAACAAGUUGAUAGCUGUGUUCCAAUCAUGGUUAUUGAUUUUGAACUACUUCAAGCAGGUUAGCUUUCACUAGUAAACCUUAUUUGCUAGAGCCAAUGGUAUCAUAAUAUGUUAGAUUGCAAAUUGUAAGCUUUGGUGAAGGUGUCUUCAAUGCUGGAUGGCUUCUUUGUGUGCAGAGACCAAUACAGGUCUGAGUUCGCCAGUAACUCUCAUUUGAAAGCAAUCGGGGCUAUGGCAUCAUCAUAGCCCUCUCCUCGAUUAAUGGCCAUACUAAAUUGCUUAACAUAGUCUUGUACACUUUCCCUUUCAUUCAUUUGGAUAUUAAGGAGGGAAGAAUCCAUGUCUCUUCUUUGCCGAAAAGAACACAUAUGUUGAGCCACAAUUGUUGUGCACAAUUUUUAAGAAAGAAGAAAUAGACCCGCUCGAGAGAUUAUGGAACUAAAUGAGGGGUGGGCUUUGCAGACUUGUUGGGAAUGCGUUGCAAAGCCCUGCAUCAGGAUGAUGAGCUGACAAAAAUGCAUUAAAUGGUCAACCAGGUCUCCCAUGCCAUAAUAUGGAUGUAAUUUUGGAAACACAAACCUGGUUGGGAUUCUUGCAUUAGUGAACAAGCUGUUGACUAAGCCCCGAAUGAUUUGACUCACAAAUUGUUGUCUUCUUCCUAUUCAUAGCAUCCUUUGAAAAUCAUCCAACUGCUCUUCAAUAGUGCCUUUUUCCUUGAAGGUAUGAAUAGCCUCAUUCCUUACCAACUUAUCUUCUUCCAAGGUUGGGGGUGACUCUUCUCGGUGAGAUUGAUUUGUCUCAUGCAAAACGAUAGUGUCAAGGGAGAAGUAGAACGAUAGGAGUGUAACAAUGCUUGAAGCUCUUAAUUGUCCCUAGCCAAAGUAUCCUCUAUUUGAGAUAGAGAUUGCAUUCUUUGCUCAAGCCGGAGUUGUUGUUGCUCUGGCCAUAACUGUAGUCGACAAAGAGGCUCUUCCCCUGAAGGGCCCUUUCCAUUGUAGUGUAGGGAUGCAACUUGGCUAACCCGACCAACUUGAGGUUUGAGUUGGCAUGGGUAAUAUGUGAAGGGUUUGAGUUAGAAAAAUACCCAAAUCGACGAUAUCAAGACGGGUGAAACCUGAACCCAUGUUUUAUUUAAAAUAUGAAAAAUAUAUAUAAAAAAAGGAUGAUAGAACUUUAUCCUUUACCUUUUACAAUUGUAGGAUACUAAUAAGUUUAUCAUUUUUGUUUAAUUAUUUAAAUAUUUUUAACUUGAGUUUAGAGUUAUUAUUUAUGUUAAAUUAGCAAUUAAUAAAUAUAUUUGAUUGCUUUAAGACAUCUUUGGCAUUUAUGGUUGAUAUUUUAUAACUUUGAAAUAAAUAUUUUAUUUAGCAAGAAACUCUAUUAUAGGUCUUUUAGUUGACAAUAUGUAUGAGAACUUUUAGAAAUUUGAGUUGUCUGUGGGCUUAGCAUGGGUUGAGAAUUCCUGAAAACUAUUUCCAAAUCUCCAACAUUUUCAAAAAAUUUAAUUGAAAGUUGUCUUACAAUUCCAAUUGAAUUUUAAAGUUGUUUUUUUCCAAAACAUUUUUCCAUAUUUAUAUUGAAAUUUUGUCUUCAAUGGACAACUUUUAAUUGAUGUUAUUUCAAUUGAUAUUAUAAAAAAUAAGGUGGUAGAUUUAGAAAUAAUUUUUAAAAUAUCAAAUUUUAAUAAAUAUUUUUUUUUUCAAAAAUCUGAUAAACAAUCUCAGCACAUGAUAACCUUCCAAUCCAUCCUACUUAAGUGCUAUGGGUGUUGUGGUUGGGAUGUCACUGAAAUAACCUCCGUCCUCUCUCAUUUUUGCGGCCGGUGGUUAUUCUCAUUGACGGUGCCAAGACAUUGAGUAUUUUCUCUUCUUUCUGCUCGAUUUUAUAGAUAUUUUGGGAACAAGUUACCAAGUGGUAAUAUUAUGGGUAAUGGAGUGAGAGUGGUAGGAUCAACCACAGUCAGCUGGAUGCCCAUAUCUUUGACAGAUGGUAUUCCUCAACUAUGUCGGGUUCCUAGCUUUGUACCCCUUCUAUCUAGUACCUACAUAAAUUCUAAUUUUUUACAAUUUUUAUUGAGUUCUAAUAUUAGUCAAUUUUUAAAGACAACUGAUGUAAAAAUAUUUUUACCAAGUUUAAGCAACUGAUUAGAGGUAUUUUUUGUAAUUUAUUUUGAAAGGCUAAUCAUUUUUAAAAAUAAUUUAUAAAUAUAAAUAUAUUAUAUAACCAUCCUUUUAUGUAAAAAUUUUUUUUUUUUUUUUUUAAAGUAUCUGUUCUAUUUCUAUUCUUUUAAGACCUUUACUUCUCAAUGAAAGUCCACUGGACUGUUAGUAUUUUAAUGAAAUUGUUGCAGCUCUUUGUUUCCUGGAUUGAAGAAUGCUAUUAAUUGUCCAGGUUUUGGUCUUUAUAUAUAUUUUUUCCCUUAUGUGUUGGUUGAAUUUUAGGUAUAUAAUGUGCAUGUUUGCAUAUUUUCAUAAUUGUCAGAAUAAUUCUAUAAUUUCUUGUUCACAUGGAGUCUAUCUAUACCAUUUUCAUUAUACCAGAAAAUUUCUAAGUUGCCCUCGUAGUUGGUAUAUAAUUUACAUCUCUUUUUAUAAUCAAAAUUUAGUAGCUCUCAAAAAAGUUAUAUUUAUUGGCUUAUCUUCAACUUAUGUUUUUUAUUUUCUUUUUUGGUUAGGUUUUUCCAUAUUCUCAUGUGUUAUUUCUUCUACUUUACCUAGUAAAGGUGAAGGCACCUUGAGCACUAGGAGAUGGGUGCUUUUACCACUCAUUAGUCAUUUCCAUAUUAAAUAUAACAAUAACCUGAUGCAUGUGGUUCUGAAUCAGAUGUUUAUGUAAUGAUUAGCAAAGCAAACACAUUAGACUCUAAUCAUUGCUACCUGUGAGUCUAUUUGUUCAAAUAAUUACGAAUAGGAAGCUUAAGCCUCACAAGACACAGUCCUAUUGCUUCACUAGAUGAGAAAACCUUCCUUGCUAUAUGCAAGCCAGUAUUGGAGUGGCUAUUUGUCUACUAACCAGAUUCUUCAAGACCUCGAAUUCUAAGAUUAUAGGUUUGGCUAAUAAAAAGAGUCUGCCUUUGGAUAUGUCAUUCAUUAAUUGACAGAAGUAAGCCUUCCAUACAAGGAAAUAUAUGUGUGCGCCUAUAUAUUUAGAGAUAUAUAUUACAGUUGCAAUAAAUCUUAGGCAUAUUGAGAACUUUUUAACUAGUGUUGAAUUUUUGAUGUGGUUACUUUUGUUCCAGAUUAACAAUAAGAAAAUCUGUGCUUUAUGAUGCUGGUACUCUUGUUGGUAUGUAUUUCCAAGAGUCAAACCUGUGACUUCCAAAUCUUAUGAGAAGUACAUGUUAAAUUAUCAAAGUUCAGCUAUUUUUUCUUCUUUUAUAUAUCUUGGGGACAAAAGGAAGUGUUUGUGCAACGUAGUGUGCCUUCCUGGAAAAUUUGCUCGUUUUAAAAUAUCAUUGAUAGUAUGGUUAUAUCAAGAAACUAUCUUUUCAACUUAUAGCAAAUAAGAGACAUGAAUCUUUUUCUUUUAUUUGUUACACCUAUGAUCCAAUCUUACAUGGAACAUAAAUCACUAGCAUAUCAGACAAUGGAGCAUAGAUUGUUAUGAUAUGGGGAAUGGAAAUGAGUACACAAAACAGUAUAUAAACUGGAACGUGGUAAAUCAGGUUAGGCUUAAAUGGUCCAUCGAUUGGUUAUUAAAAAUUAGAUUGUUGUAAGAUAAAUGCAAUAAUACCUUUUUUUUCCCAUUUCUAUAGAAGGGGCUAUAUGUUGGUAGUUCUCUCUCCUUUUUGGCAACUUUUUAUUUUUUCCUUUAAAAUGGAUUGACCAUGUAAUGCCACAAAACUACUUAUUUCAUAUUUCUGUUAUUCUUUUGGUAUGUUAUAACUGUUGAUCCAGUUUGCUUUAAAGACUUGUAUCCUCUUGCAUUUUGUUAACUAUUUGUAAUCUUGUUUUGUAAAAUUCAAUGAUAUAUUAAGGUUUAGUUUUUGACCUCUUCAAGCUUGUUUUCUAAUUGUUCAUUUUUCUUAGCUCUUUUUUGAAACCUUAAGCCCGCUUCCUUGUUUUUCAGCUAGUUUCAUUUGGAAAUCUACAUCCCCACCUAAAGCAAAAGCCUUUUGUAUGGUCAGUGGCAAAUAAGCAACACCAACAAGAAGCUAUAGGUGAGCAGGCCUUAUAAAGGUUUUUGUUUAAAUUGUGUUUAUGUGCUUGUGGCAUGGUGAAUCAGUUGGUUAUAACUUUCUUCACUGCCUAUUUGCUUUAGGGAUUUGUUAUAAGUUGUUUGCAUAGCUGGGAUAGACAGGGUUUCUCAGAAUUUUGACAAAUAGGAUGAUUAUCUCUUUUAAGGAGUUUGGGAGACUCCCUAGAGGUGGAAUUCUUCGGUAAUUGGUGAGCCUCACUUUGAUUUGGAUAAGGUCAAUAAUUUUGUCAAGAAUUCGGUUGAUUUAUUUUCUUCUCUAUGACUUUAUAUUUUUGAAGCUUUGAACAGGUACUCCCUUGAAUCGCAUUUUGCUAUAUUGAAACGAAGCAGUACCAAAAUUUUUAUAGGAGUGAAGUGAGUUGAGCAUGUACAUGUUUGUCCUGUAGAGGGAGUGUAUGUAUGGAGUAAACUUUUAUUCUGAGGAGAUUUUUUCCAUUGAUUUACACGUGUGUGUGUGUGUGUGUUUGCAUUUAAUGGUUUGUUUAGUUGUCUGUUUCACAACAACAGAGAUAGGUUUCAUCUUGAAGAAUGCUUGCUGCAUGUAUUACUGAAAAUUCCAAGUACCCUAUUUCUUGAAUAAAAUUGAAGGAGAUAUUUUUUUGAGGGCUUGAUCAGCAUGGAAACAAGUAUCUUUUACUAGCUUUAUGGUGUGGUUGUGAGCAAUUGAGAUAGGAUCCGACUGAGAUGGUCCAGUUUUAGUCUGGACAAACCAUUUUGCCCCAGGUUUCGCUUUUCAAAAGCCAAGGUUUUGGAAACUGAUGUGCACCUUGUAAAUUCUAAUUAGUAUAUUGAACAACUUUGAUAAGAUUCCCUCUCACAAGCAAAGGGGCCCUACUGUAUUGGACUCCAUCAGGCUGAUUAAGACCCCCAGAAUGGACAUUAAAAGAGACGCUUUCAACUUAUUGGACGUUGAACUUACUUUUUGAUUGCAAAAAUGAAGAGGACCUUGUUCAAAUGCAUCAGUAGAAUGGCCAAGUUGUGGUGUAAAGUCUGUUUGUAGAAUGUGAAAAAUAUUCACCUUUUCCAGUGGUUUUUAAGGACAAGCCUAUGGUAUAUGGUAGAGUUAAAUCUCUUUAAAUAUGGAGGAGGUAGAUUGCCUUGAAAUCAUAUAAUCCCAAUUCAUUCUAUUACGGUAACUUUCGGGCAUUAAAGUUACUUUAAGCGUGGCUGAAUUAAUACCACAUGUCCUGUUAUAGUGUCAAAGAGACGCCUAAGUUUGGUUUGCUUUCAAUUCCAUAAUGCCCUUGAAAGUGACAUUAUAUUGAGACGUCCUAAUGGUCAUUUAAUAUUUUUUAUUUUUCCCCUUUUAGGUUUUUUAUUGUUGAACUUGCUUCCAUAUGAAAUACUGAGACUGAUGUGGAUGUCAUUGUUGUGAGCUCCAUCUAUCUUCCUUGCGUUAUCUGAACUCAGGUUGCUGUUACAAGAUUCCCCUAACAAGGCUUUCUUUAGUUUAGACCAUCUAAUCUCACUAAACAAAGCCUUCAUGUGGUCCAUUCUUGACUUAAAUUUGAAAAUCUUGCUGGCAUGAUGAGAGAUGCAAUAUAUUAUAUAUUAUAUAUUUAUAUUUAUAUUGAUGUAAAGCUUCCUCUGUAUACUUGUGUAUUUGGAUUUCUUAAAAUUCAUUUCUUUGCUUGCCAUGACUUCGUUUUUCUUACCCUCUAUUUGUUUGUUUUCUGCCCUGGAGAAUUUCCCAUCAUCCAAACAGUCUUUUCUCCCUCUGAUUUUUUUUUUUUUUUUAAAAUCUCUUCUCCCCACGCUUUAUUCCUUCUACUUUAUAGAGUUUUGUCCCUUGCACUAGCACUGCUCAUGGAAUUUGGAAAGUGAGCUUGAUACAAAAACUGAGCGCCUUUCCUGUAAUCCAGCAAUGUGGGCAUCAUCUGUGCGAUGGGAGUGCACACCACGCGCAGACCUUGAAAAAAAGAGGAUAUAACUGCUCUGAAAAUUAUGCGGAUGUUAGAGGUUCAAAGAAGAUCUUGUAGGGACUUCUUAUCAGUACAACGUGGUAAGACUCGAGUCUGUGAAAGCCAAGCUUUUGGGAUCCCCCUCCUAGGUAUAUACACCCACCACACGUCUCUGCCCACCGAUAAUCCUUAGCUUCUACACGCUGGUUAGCCAACCUUUCUCCCUCUGUUCUGUCGGAAUCGGUUCAGAAUUUGGCGGGGGUUCUCUGCACCUGCCAUGUGUCUCACUACUCCCCAAAACCUAAUCAUUUUUCACUCGAGGGCAUUGUGGUAAAGAAUGACUUCGGGGUUUUGACUAGUCAUACGAGCAUUGAAUUCUCAUUUUUAUCUAUUUAUUUAUUUUUUAUAUGCUCCCAUUUGUCCUGUAACUAUUCACUUCCAAUAGUUUCAUUGGCCGUGACAAUAACAAUUGAUUUUUAACCAAUUGAUGGAGAAAACUAAUCAUACGCUUAAAAUAGACUCUAUACAAUUCAACAGUUGGAGUGCGACAUGCAUAACUAAAUGGGCACUGCCUUUUUAAAAGGUCCCCCACCAUCUAAAACAAUAUGACAAUGUCCAUGGACCAAAGUGUGUGAUCAAUUUGGUGGUCUUGCCUUGGAAUAUUUUAGGUUGAGCCGGUUUGUUUUCUCCUAAAUUUUAUUUCAGUUUAGUCUUGCAAUCUCGACCACUCUUAAUAUCCAAUUCCCAAGUUGUAUAGACAGCCAUUACAAACGAUAAGGACCAGGUGGCUCCCACCUAAAUUAUUCACAAGCUGUUUGCCCCAUUUCUCUUGUCAUAUUGUGCCACAGAGAGAUGUUAAAUUUAUUGAUUUCAGAUUACUCAAUCAUCAUGAUUUAAUUGUUGGCGGUUCCCAAAAUGUCAUCCAAACAUGAUGGAUUAGUAGAACAAAAAUAAUAAUAAUAAAAAAUCAAAAGUAGACUCCCCCCGAUUAGCAAAGUAAACGAUGGUCAUCGGUUGCAUCCAUUUUAUUUGUGGGAGGUGCAAAUUGUGUUACGAAAGUGGGGGUGAAGGAGAAUAUGAUGAGAAGGAAAGUAGGUGGAACAUCGCUUUUAAUAAUUGAGAUUGAGAAAGAGAAGAGGAUGAGGGGAUGAGACAAGGGCCUUUCUAUUAUUUUAUUUCACUGUUAUUAUGGUCGCACUCUCUUUGAUCAUCUCCUUGUCACGAAUUUGAAAUUUCUUCCAUCUCCCUUCCUUUUCACUCUUUAUCAUGUUAGGAACUUAGGGCUUAGGACUUUAGUUUCCACCGCCCACUACAACCUCCUCUCAAAUCUUCCGACACCAACUCUUCAGUUACCCAUCUAGAAACUAUCUUCUAAUGAGACCUACUUAGUCUUUCUCCUACUGUCAAUUAAAAUCGAAGAUAAAUUAUUUGUUUAUGAGAUAAAGUGUGCCUUACGAAACUUCCAACCAAUUUCAUACCAACCACUGUUAGGCCACUUGAUAUGGGUCCCAAGUGACUCGCGGUCAACACACUCUUCUUUGAAAUGAACCUCUUUUGCCCAAUUUUGACUAGUCAAAUUCACAUUCAAUCUACCACGGUACCACCUAAUAAAUUGAAAUUAAUUAUCCUCUGCUUUUUAUUUUUAUUUUUGUUUCAUUACAAAAGAAAUUUUUUUUGGCCCUUGUGCAUAUUGGAGGCGAUACAGCCCAUGUCGCUGGAGUAUUUAUUCAGUUGAUGCAAGUAUUCUGACUUAUUGAAUAACUUUUACUCUUAAAUAUUAAUGCUCACUUACCCUGUUAGAAGAAAACGAUCAUCUUGAGACUGACAAGAAAGCGAGAGGAUUCAAAAUUUCAGCCUGUUUAUGCUGUGGCAAUCAUUCGACUUUGCUGAAAAUGAUUUCUUCUGCCUAAUUUUUUGUUAUUAGUAUGUGGAAUGAAUGAGUGGAGAGCAAGAAAAAUUUUGCGCCUUCGUGUACGUGUACUGCGUUCGGAAUUGAUCAUAGGUGAGGCCUAUGAAUGUAUCAUUCUAGAUGGAAAUUAAGUACAAGUACAAAUUAAGAGAAAAGUGGAAACAAAAAGAGUGGAGAAAUGCUCAAGGCCACUUAAUUAAAUAAGCCCACAAUUAAGAAAAUGCAAUUGUACUUGUGACCCAUAUGCCCUGAAAAUAUGUGACCCAUAUGCCCCUUCAUUCUCUCUCUUAUAGGCUGUAUAUCAAGUUCGGUUAACUUUUGGAUGCUACUGCGUGUAUAUUCUAGAACAUCAAAAUGGUCGGCUGGGUGAGCUGGGAUCCUCCGGGUGAUGAUAAAGUGGGGUCCAGUCAUGGCCGCGACGUGUUUUGAUCUAACCUAUUCAAUCUGACAUCCGACGGUCAUCAAGCUACAUGCGCUUUGAACCACUUUAUUCAGCAUCAUAUAAAGGUAAGCCCGUCAUAACAAAAUAACACCUUUAGGAAAGUCAGGAUGCCUUUAUUUCUUAGGCACUUGAAAAGUCAUAGGCCUUUUUCAUCCAUUGAAGUUUGCUCAUUCAUUCAUGAUUUAUAUAUAUAUAUAGAUUUUUGUGUGUCGUAGGACCUUUAUUUAACCAGAAAGUUCCCACUGAUAAAAGGGAAGGUGAAGGUGCUCUCAACCUCGGUCAUAUUAUUUGAUUUAAAUUAUUGGCCUCGCCAGAGAUUGUUAAAUUAUGGAUUUUUCCUUUAUAGCAUAGCACCUAUCAAUUUUUAUUUCCAAAUCUCACCCUCAGUGCGAAGCCAUGAAAUGUCUUCUCUAUUCUUUUUUAAUAUAAAGGUGAAUCCAAUCAUAAAGCAGAAGGGAGAAAGUUGUGGACAUAUUCAGAAUCUGUCCAGCAUACCCAGCCAUAGACGCAGGCUUCCAAUGUGUUGUACAUAUAUGUUGAUAUACAGGGCUUCUCUUCGUCUCGAUCACCUCCCUUGCUUAAAUUUUAGCUUCUCCAAUUUUUUUAUUUUUUCUAAAUUAUUUGACCCCAUAUUGACAUGGAACAGUCAAUUUGUAACAAGUGGCAAAGUCGGGAAUCUCGAGGUAGAGUUUGGUUUUCACCCUGAAAACGCGGAAGGUUUGAUGGAGUUCCUUUAUUUCAUGUGUGACAAAUCCCCAUACAUAGCCCACAUGUUCACUCUGAUCUUAUGCUAUUAUAUUUCCGAAGGCGGUCCCGAAUUGAAAAGACUCCUUCAUCUACCAAAUUCAAUGUCACAAAAGAAUAUAAUAAAAAUAAACAUCAAAAUGCAUCUUAAAAUUUUAUCAUCUACAAUUCUCUAUUUUUUAUUUUUACCAAUAAAAUAGAUGUCAGUAAAGGAGUGGGAAGUCAACUAUCUGAAGUUAAAACAAGUCCUGCUCUUCCGUAUUCAUAAUAAAUACGAAUUUUAUUUAUAUGGUAACAGAUGAUGUGAAUUACAAAUACAAAGCGUUCGUCACACGGAACUUCUCACACAAAAGCAGAGGCCACUCCACUCACUUCAUAAUUCAUUUCUCCUCCUCCUCCUCCUCCUCCUCCUGCUUUCUCCCUCUCUUAGCUUCCUUCUCCCACCAUGACUUCAAAAGACUGCGGCAACCAUAGGCACAAGCAUCAUAAGCUGAGGCGAUGCUUCGCCGGAUUGCUUAUCUUCUUCUUCAUCGUCCUCCUCGUCGUACUCCUGGUGUGGGCAAUCCUCCAGCCCAAGGACCCACGCUUCGUCCUCCAAGACGCCACCAUCUACGCCCUCAACGUCUCCACCCCGAAUAUCCUCACCGUCAACAUCCAAGUCACCAUCACCACCCGCAACCCCAACGACAAGAUCGGCAUCUACUAUGAGAAACUCGACACCUACGCCACCUACCGCGGCCAGCAGAUUACCCUCGCGUACCUCAUCCCCCCCACCUACCAGGGCCACAAGGAGAUCAUCACCUGGUCACCUUUUCUCUCCGGCACGGCCGUACCCGUGGCUCCCUACAACGCCAUUGCACUGAAUCAGGACCAGUCGUAUGGCGCCCUCACCUUGAUCAUCAAGAUUGAUGGACGGGUGAAAUGGAAAGUUGGUUCCUUCACAUCAGGCCGUUAUCAUCUUAACGUCAAGUGUGUGGCGCCUAUUACUUUCGGUGCCAGGAGCAGCGGUGUUGUUAUCGGUAACGCCGUUAAGUACCAGAUGGCUUCCACUUGCAGCGUCAGCGUUUGAGCUUCUUCACGCCGUUAGUAUUAUUUCUCUCCCUUUGUCCUCUUCUUUUAAUUCUGUUUCUCUCCCUUGAGUCUCUAGUCAUACGUCUUUUGAAUUGUACAUUUUGCUAAGAAUAAAAGCGGAAAAAAAUUGGAAAGCAAAAUUGCAAUGUUAUGAAAAUUGUAUAACCGUGCUAUUAUAAGAUUAUGAUUUGUGCAAUAAUUAUUUCCAAGGGGUGGAGGGUGUGCUGUCCCUUUCUAUCAUUUUUCUAUGGUUGCUUCCUUCAAGAAAAUGAAAAUUAAAAGGAUGGGGGCACCUGUUUUAUUUUAGAGUGACUGGUUGAUGUGAUCCAUAAUUUUAUAUGUAUUUUGUCUUUCGUUUUUCGCAAAAUAGAAAGUCCAAUUCAUGAACACACCUAAGUUAAUUAGGUGUUAUCUUCAAAGUGGAUAGCAAGAAAAACGGUCACAUGGGGCUAUUAAAUCUCUUUUUCGCAAUGGGAGGAGAUGGUAAAAGUUUCCAAUAUCUCAAUAUAGUAGAAACCCAAGCCUCACCCAUUCAACACAAGAAUUUUUUUCUUUGUUUUAGAGAGAGAGAGAGAGAGAGAGAGAGAGAGAAUACCCUUAAAAGUAAUGUGAAGGUCGUAGCUGGUGUAUGGGUGUUGCAAUCUUGGGCAAAAGGCAUGAGUAGUGAGUUGUGGGUGUUGGGUCUUCAACAGUUCAACACUCGUAUGGCUUUGGUGGCUGUCCUUUUCGCUUCUCACCUGCCCUACCUACUAAUAAUAAUUGCUUUGUUAGAAAUAGACUUUUUUUUUUCUAAAUGUCUACGAUCGACGCUCCUGCUUUUCUUUCCCCAGUGUCUUUUAGAAGAUGAUGUCGGUCGAAGAUCCCACGUGUAAGAAAAUUUAAGUCCACCCAGUGCAUCAAUCUUCAACAUAAUCUCAUAUUGCCCAUCUAUUUUUGUCUGGGAGAAUCAUGUAUCAUAUAUUCAUAUGCACUUCCAUAUCCAUGCUUAUACCCACCCCACUCACUCCUUUUUGGACCUGUGCUAGCUCGACCAGCAAAACAUUGGGCUUUAAGUGCUUAUAUUAUGGGCUGGGCUAGGCAGUUUCUGCAACUUCAAAGCCCAUGCACUGAAAUAUUGUAUAUAUUAACUUCCACAAGUAAUGAAUUGAUAAAAUCUCUUACUCAAAAGGCCACAGCAACAGCAUUCACCCAUAAUAGAUGAGACAAAAACAAAUUUUGGUUUCAAUUUUGAAAUAUUGUGAAUUUAUUUUAGAUUAAUUUUUUGUCUAAAUUUUUUUAUGAAAUUUAAUAUCUGAAUUUGAUGAGUUAUGAGACAAAAAUAGUGAUCAUUUGUAGUAAAGUGUUGUUUCAAUUUUGGAAUAGUGUGAUUUUAUUUUAGAUUAGUCUCUUAUUCAAAUGAAAGUGAUUUUAAUAUUGUUCAUCUUCUUUUUUAGUUACAAUUUAUGAGAAAAUUUAAUAUCUAAAUUUUCUUGAGAAAAAUGAUAGAAAUUACGUUUUUAAAAUUUUUAUUUUAUUUUUAAGAUAAAAGCUAUCUAAAAUUUUUUUAAAUGAAUUUUAUUUUAUUUUAUGUAAGAAAUUACGUUUUAAGUAUUAUAAUAAAAUUAAAUUUUGAAAAGAUAAAAACGAAAAGAGAAGAAGUGAUACAAGUUAAAAAAAAAAAAAAAAGGAUCUCUAACUUCCUUGUAAUUUUUUUUUAUUAAAAAGAAAACAAAUCUUAAAUAAAUUUGUUAUAUUUUUAUAACCAGACCUACAGGUUGGACCCAAAAGGCCUAAGGUCCAUGAACUGGAGUCAGUUUGGGAGCUUGCAUUAUUAACUCCCAAAGAUCGUCCAGAACUAGGCCAGACUAGGUAUAGUGGAGCACUGCAUGAGCAAGCUGGGCCUCUCUGCCAAAUAUGAAAGGGUACGCCAGACUUCAGCAAUAUGUUUACCCGAUCUCAAGAUUGGCCCAAAAGUAGGCCCAUUCCUACAUAGUCCAUGGUCACGAUAUAUAUAUAUAUAUAUAUAUAUAUAUAUAUAUAUAUAUAUAAAGGCUGUUCCACAUUUGCGUUAAACAACACCGGUCAAGGGCCAAGGCACCAAACAUUGUUGGACCGAUCAAGGGCAGACACGCUUGUAUAGGAGUUUUGACCCAAAAUAGUAUAUUUAAAAAAAAAUAAAUUCAUAAAAUAAACUUGUUUCCAAAAUAAAGCUCGAUCUACAUUUGUGUUACAUAAACUGUCAUAUCAUAAAACCAUAGUCGGUAAUGAUGAUUUUAUUUUUUAAAAACGGUUAGAAACUGUAGUCACCAACCAUAAUUUUAAUUUUAAAUUUAAAGUCGCUACGAUUUUGAAUUCUUUUAAAAUUUGUCAAAAACGUAGUUACCAAUUGCGAUUUUAACUUUAUAUAUAUAAAUUUAAUUUUUUAAAUAAACAUAUUAUAUUAUUUUGAUUUUAAAUAAACUUAUUUCAUUAUUUAAAAAAUAAUAAUAUAUGAGAUUAAAUAAUUGAUAUUUUUAUUUGAUAUAAAUAUAUAUAUAUAUAUAUAUAUAUAUAUUAAUUUUAUUAAAACAAUAGGCACUAUAUUUAAUAUAAAUAUAUUUAGUUAAUUAUAUUUAUUUAAAACAAAUAAAUUGUGAAAGCUUAUUAAAAAAACAAAUAAUAUAAAUUAUUAUAUUAAUUAGUAAUUUUUUAUAUACUAUAUAUAAAUGGCAUAUAAUAUCACACGUAUAUAAGUUCAAUUUAAGUUUAAAAUUUAUAGUUCAUAAUAUUAUAUUGAUAUGAUAAUAAUUUACUUAUAUAUUUAAAUAAAAAUAUGAUAAAUUUUAAAUUUAAAUUAAACUUUUAUAUAUAGGUGAUAUUAUAUACCACUUACAUAUAAUACAUAAAAAAUUAUUAAUUAAUAUAAUAAUUUAUAUAUAUAUUUUUUCUAAAUAGUCUUUCAUAAUUUAUUUAUUUUAAAUAAAUAUAAUUUAUUAUAUUUCAUUUAUAUUAAAUAUAAUGCUAAUUUUUUUAAUAAAAUUAAAAAAAAAAUAUUUUUAUAUCAAAUUAAAAAUAUCAAUUAUUUAAUUUUAUAUAUUAUUAUUAUUUAAAUAAUAAGAUAAAUUUAUUUAAAAUCAAAAUAAUAUAAUAUUUUUAUUUUAAGAAAAUUAAAAUUAAAACGUGGUCCGUGAUUAUGGUUUCUAUUUUAAAAAAAUAAAAUCAUAAUCACCUAUUAUCAGCCAAUUUUAGAUGGUAACCUGAAAGGCCCAUUACCAGGAUUUGUGCGCCAUUGCGACGCGUGUGGCGCGCCUACCGAGUUUGACUGAUAAGCCACGAGAAAUGUUAGGAAUCUUCUAAUUUGUCCUCUACGGUUCAUGGCAUCUUUCAUGUGAGAACGAAAGCUACGAAGUUUCCUGGGCAACUUCCCAUCCACAAAAAUUGCGUUCAAGAUUAUCAUGAACUCCUUCCACCUCACCCACCCCUUUUUUAAUUCGACCCCAUUUUCCAAUUUUACGUGCCAUGACUUUAUCAUACCUUUAAUCAAUCAUAUUUUAAGAAAUGCUGCAUUGUUUUUUCAAGUUAAAUGAUCUCACGUGUAGACAAACUGAUAAAAAGGCAAUUAGAUUACGCAAGACUUAUGCGUUAACUGUUUCAUAAGUAAAAGAAUUUGGCUACCCACCCGGCUUUGACAAUGAUUGGUUUUGCCUAUUUUCUAUCUUUCCUUUUGCAUUCUAAUUUCCGUGAGCUUCCAUGGAUCUUUUUAUCCAACUUCAAAAUGAGAAAUGGGUUUAAUCAUAUAUAGGGUAGAGGAAAAGUGGAAAAACAUUGUAGACUGUAGAGUUGCUCUCAAAGUUUGUUACUUCCUGUGUGUUCCUAUGACUUUCAUUAAAGAAUAGGAUUUACUAUUUGCCCAGUUAAAGUCUCAUGACAUCACUUUGAAUUCUUACCAGAAUUAUUGGAAGAAAAUGUCUUAAUAAAUAAAAAAAUAAAAAAACCUACUAAAAAUAUCUAAUGGAAACAAAGUAAAGCGUUAAAUAAAUCUACUAAAUUAACAUUUGAAUUCUUUUCUAAACAUUAAUCUCAUUCCAAGUGCCUUUAAUUUUAAUACUUUUAAAUAAUUUCCUUUAAUUUAUAUAAUAUAUGUAAUAUUAUCUUUAUAUAAUAUUAAUUACAUUAUCCUUUAAUUCUAAAAAUGCAUUUAAUAAUGAUGGUCCGGAGUUUUUCUAAUUUUUUUAAUACGUAAAACAAAAUUUAUUUUAGAAAUAUUAUAAACAAUUUUUUAGAAUAGUUGUGAAAUGCACUUUAAAAUACAUUGAAUUAUGAAUUUUAAUUAUAUAUUUUAUGAUGCUUGAUGAUUUUAAAAAGAGGCCAACAUUGUUUAUUUUAAAUAUAUCUUCAUGAUAGAGCAAGAUUUUUUCCAUGUGUGACUCUAAGAUCAUAAAAUGAGGUGACAUUGGUAUGACAAUUAGAAAUGUUAAAAAAUACAAAUAAAAAUUUAUAUAUGUAGUUUGGCAUAUCGGGUUGAAUAAAAGGUAAUUACAUGAUGUUAAAAUUAAGUCUAUAUCAAUUACUUAUGUUAAUUAAUUUUAAUAAAAAGUGGAAAUAUUGCAAAUACAAAUAGAAAUGAAUGUAGAAAAUAAGUUUUUUUAAAUAGUUUAAGAAAAUUAAUAUUAUAUAUUUAAUUCAAUGUGAUAAAAUAUUUAGGAAUUAAAAACUGAAAUCAAUGUGGCCGAUAUGAUAAGAGUUUUUUUUUUUUUUUUUUUUUUAAUUUGAAAUGUGAAGAUAUUUUAUAAGAUAUUGAGUUGAUUAAGAAAUAGAAAUAAAUAAUACAAUGGGAUAUUUUGAGAAAAAUAAGUUCAUAACAUUUUAUUCUUAAAAAAUAUGUAAAAAGGAAAUUAAGUAAUAUAUAUAUAUACAAUUUUACUAUUAAUAAACCUCAUCACCAUUGCAUUAAUAUCUACAUUGUUUUUUUUUUAACUCUUCAUUUUUAUUAUGCAUUUAUACUUAAAAAUCAAUAAAAGCAUAUAAAAAAAAUAUUUAAAAUCUAAUAAUAUAUUUUAAAAAAAAUAUAGAAAAUAAUGUUUAGGUAAAUGAGGGAAUAGAAUAAUUAGUAAAUAAAUUUCUUUUCACUUAACUCCUUCCGAUUCUAAACAGAUGCUUAAUUUCUUGGUACUUUUAUAUGUAGGAUAGAAUAUAGAUAUAAAUAUAAAUAUAGAUUAUUUCACCAACCUCUAGUUUGAAAAUAAAUAUUUUUAAUUAAUUUCUCUAUAAAAGUCAAAUAACAUUUUUCCCAUUUCUUAAUAUUUUUCUAAUGGAAAAUAAGCCAAAAGGAUCUGAAAUCAAAAUCAAGUAAUCAAAUAUGCAAAAAGUCUAGUUAGACCGCAAUGCUUACCAUAUUUUAAAAGCUGGUAAUAAUUCUGACAGCCUAAAAUUUCUAGAUUUAGUAAGUUCACUUGAUAAAAAUAAUGUCUGUGCUCAUGACAAGGCAUAUUAAAUCUGGCACACAAUCCCCCCAAGUCUAAUCACAACCAUUGGUAAUGAAUUCAUAAUCUUAUUCGUGUAUGUAUGAUAUUACUUGGAGAGAACAAAUUUGAAAUGCCAAAAUGCGACACAUCAGGCGUGACCAAAUCAGCAGAUUGAUAAGAAAAGGGAAACAAAUUAAUACAUUCAAAAUUUGACACAUUCCGUGUUAGAAGUUACUAGAAAGGAAAACACGUUAUGAACAAAAAUCAUCAUGAAAUUUUGUGGUGUCAGCCGAAAAGGACCGUGUGUAAGGAGUCAACGGAUGUCUGGAAGUAUCCAUGUAGCAUCGCUACCCACGCACAAAGCAACCGCGUUGAUUUUAAGCCUGAUACCGCGGCCUCAGUCGUGUUCUUCCUCAUUAAAGAACUACACCUGCGCCCUGGAGUGCUUGAAAUUAUCCUCACCUCUUCGGCUCUUCACACCAUUCCCGGCUCUAUAUAUAUUCGCAUUCAUCUCUCCUAAUUUCAUCGAAUCCCAUCUACGCAUCUUUCUCUUUUUGUCCACUGCGUACUUGUUUGUCUGUUGUAGUCUUAUACCAUGGCUGACGUUGAGAAACAAACAUUGAAUAAAGGCUACUAUGGCCCCUCAAUUCCUCCAAAAUCACGAUCCUACCACAGCCACGGCCGAGGCAGCGGAUGCGGCUGUUGCUGCUGCCUCCUAGGCUUUUUGCUCAAACUCAUUGUCACCGUCGUUAUCAUCGUAGGGAUUGCAGUCCUCCUCUUCUGGCUCAUAGUCCGUCCCAACAAGGUUAAGUUCCAUGUGGUUGAUGCCUCCCUCACCGAGUUCAACCUUACCAGCGACAACAUCCUUCAGUAUAACCUUACCGUCAAUAUGACCGUCCGCAACCCCAACAAGCGUAUUGGUAUAUACUUUGAUCGCAUCGAAGCCAAGGCGUACUAUGAGGACGCCUUGUUCGAUUCUGUUGAGUUGGAACGAUAUUACCAGGGCCACAAGUCAACUCAUACCCUGAAUCCAGAGUUUACUGGGGAGAACUCUGUAUCGCUUGGAGCAUCCGAGCUUUCGAAUUUCAAUUCGGAGAAGGCUUCAGGAACUUACAGUAUUGAUGUGAAGCUGCGUCUUCGGAUCAGGUUCAAGUUGGGAAUAUUGAAGAUUGGUACGUUCAAGCCCAAGGUUACUUGUGAUUUGAAGGUUCCUUUGGAUUCUGAUGGGACAAGCAGUGGUACUUUCCAAACCACCAAGUGCGACGUUAAUUUCUGAUCAUCUGAUUCAGGCUCCUGCUCGCCUUCCUGGCUCUUUGAUCCACUUCGUUGUUGAUUUCUUUGAUUUGCAUAUUAUUCUUUUGUUUGUGGGUACACAUAGCAUCACAUAUCGUUUUCUUUCCAUUUCCCUCCCUUUUGUAGGGAUGGUUUAGACGUGAUCAUGUUGGUUUCUUCUUGUUCAUAGAUUAUGCCAUUUUUGGUUAUGUAUAUGUUAUGUUAUAUUUAUGAGUUUCGUUAUAAUUUUUAUUUUUUUCGGUUAAUCUUCGCUGCAUUUUUCAAUUUGGUAUACACGCUGGGGCAAAUUUUAAUUAUUUGGUGAACUGCUUCUUUGGUUCGUCGGUGAAAUAUAAGUGGACGAAUUUAUUAAUAAAACCUGACUUUGUUCUUAUACGUUACAUGGAGAACGAUGCCAAGUGCUCCUACGAUCAACUCGAACGAAUGAUGCGUGACUGAUUCAAUGUGACCACGCGUGGGCAUUGUGUCGGUGAAAUGCAACAAUCUAUAAUCUAUUCAGAUAAGAAUGCUGGGGGGCCAUAGAAGGGUCUCGCAGAUGACAUCUAAUCAAGCCUCCUGCUUUGUCCAAAAAAUUUAACAUUUAUAAUUGAAAAAGGAAAUUUAUGUAAAAGAUUUCAAGUUUAGAGUUUAAAAUUUACGUAAAAGAUAUUAUUUUCCUUUAAUUAUAUUUUUAAAUGCUAAAAGAAGUUUUGAAGCUUUAAUCAUCUUUUUCGAUUAUUCAAGGGGGUUUUUCCUUAUUUGUAAUUUUAAAUAAUUUAUAUAAUUAUUAAUUAUUGUAAAGCUUACGUUUUCAUAUUAUUUCUCAUUAUUAAACACUAUUUUCUCUAGAUUAUAUUUUUAAAGUUGAAAAUUGAUAUUGGUUAAAAGAAGUUUUUGAAUAUUCGAUGUUAUUUAUUUUUAUAAAAAUUUUAAAUAAUUUAUUAUGUAUUAUUAUAUAAUAUCAUGGGUUGUUGGUUUAGAAAACCACUGUACAUUUCAAAUUUGAGAACUUUGUUGUCGUUUUUCAUUUUUUCGUACGUUUCACACGUGCGCUUCAGAUUCCAGAACAUGGACUUAUUUUUUAUUUUUAAAACCAAAAAUUUCUAUAUAAAAAAUAUAAACUUAGUUAAUUUUCUAUUUUCAUUUUUAUAUUAUAUAACAGCGGGUGGGAGUGGAAAUGUGAUUUGACUUGCACAGCCAGACUAAGGAAAAAAAAAAGGUUCCAAGAAAAAUCUGGCUUCAUAUGGGAAACUUAGGUUUUAGGUUAUCAAUAUCAAAACAAUAGUAUAUCAUACCCCAGGUUUGCCAAUUUCAAGUUUACGAUGCUAACCUCAAAAAUAUUUUGAGUCUCAUGCACUUUGGACUGAGUUGUUUUUUAAUUCCCAAAAUGCCCCCCUCCUUCGAUCAAGUCAACCUCCACAAAGUUUAAAAAAAAAAUAAAAGAUUAAAAAUAAAAAACAACUUAAUAGCAGAAACCUUCCUUCUUCGUUUAUUUCUAUAUGUAAACCCUCAGUUCACUUUUCCUUCUUAUCUUCUUUAUUUCCUCAUUCCUUUAUACACAUCUAACUAGUAUAAACCAUAACGGAAAACCAUAGUCAUUUUCUUCAUUUUUCCUCCUAGUGUGUGAUAUGGUAGAAGUUGUGCAUUCUUGGGUGCCUCUGCCUACCACCACCGCCACCCACCACCAUCUCCUCACAUCUCAUCCUUUUCACCUCUCUCACUCGACUUCCUCUUUCUUUAUGCCUCUAUCAUUCUCAUCCCAGGUACUCUCUCUCACUCUUUGUUUUUAUAUGUAUAUGAUUUGAACGAUAGUGAUCGAGGGAUUUUUCUUUUAAAUUUUUUAUUGCUUGAGAAUGAUUUCAUAAUUUAUUGUAAUUCUAAGGCUUUCUUAUUGAUUUUUGUUUUUUUUCCAUGCCAACAUGCUUCAACUUGAUUGGGCUUAUCUAAAAUUUUUAGCUUUCAUGUGCUCAAUUGCUGAGAAAUUUGUUGAAAUUGAAAGGAAAUAUAAAGUUUUGACAUUUUUAGGGAUUGAGUUGGGUGAAAGUGAAUGACUGAGUUUAUCUUUGUCGAAUAGUUGUCCAUACAUCACUAAACUAAUAUUUUGAUCGGAAUCAUUGAGCUAAUUGUUAUUGUGUUAAUUAAAUGAAGGAUUAAGCUAUUUUCCAAAUGUUAAGCUUGUAGGAAAAUUUUACAUCUUGUCUUUGUUUUUUUCUUUUUUGUCUUAUGUGAUGCUUUGUCAAGAGGAUAUUUUAGGGAAAUGAUUUUCUACAAGUGAAUGAGAAUCAAUGGAAAAUACACUUUUCACUUAUCUAAUCAAUCAAAUAUAACUUAAAGGUUUAGAUUUUAUUUUAUUUUCUAUUCUUUUCCUUGGUAUCUUAGCAAAUAAAUAGAGAAUUAGGAAGAUUCUUUUGAUAGAUUUGUUUUUCCCAUGACUAAGGUGUGGUUUGAUGCACUUCCGAUUUUUCAUUUUUAAAAUAUAGAAUAAUAGCAACUUUAUAUAAAGUUUAGGAACUCUAAUACAAAAUAAAUAAAUAAAUAAUUUAUUUUAUAUUUUAGGUUCCUUAAACUGAUUAUUUGUUUUAAUGCUUCUUAAUCUAAAUUGUUGUUCCUGCAUUUUAAAUAAGAAAGGUAUACAAGUUGAUUUUUUUUUAAUGAAAUUAAGAUUUGAAAUAGAUUAAUGUUGCAGUUACCAAAAAAUUGAGCAUUACAUGUCCAAUCAUGGUCCUUAUUUUGUGCAUGCAUUCCCCUAAAGGAGAAAUUUCUUUCACUUACACCUUUCAAGUUAGCAAAUAGAUUGUCAUUGCUUAAGCAAGGAACAAAUGGAGUUGCCUUCUCCAAUCACCGGGGUUUUUUUCUAUUGUGGAUUGAGUUCCUUUUCCCAAAUUCUUAUUAUUGAUAAUGGUAAUGAAGUUUAUAACUUGUAGAAAAUAAGUAGAGUUAUUCAGUGCUCUUCUUUACCAACGUGUCUUGCUAGGUCCUUCUAGUUGCAUGUUUUUUAAUGCAUAUUUUGUUCUUAAAACUGAAAACAAAAGAACAAUAUUAUGGUACAGUUAAGUUUUUGGAAACCAAAAAUGUUGAAGGCUAGUAAAAUAAAAAUAGGGACAAGUUCGCUAGAAUCUGACCAAAGGCAACAUCUUUCUAUGUGCUUUGACAAACUUAUGACAAACAUAAAUCUAAACUUGGACUCAAAAAACAGGGACAAGUUCGCUAGAAUCUGACCAAAUUCAAGAACGAAUUCUGCAACAAAUAAAUUGUGACAUCUUUCAUACAACAACAACAAUUUUAUGCUAGCAAGAGGCAUUGUUCAUUAUUGAAGUGCUUAAAACAACCUAGUUUUGAACAGACUGCCUCCACUGAGUCCAAUUUAGUUGCAAUGGGAAGAACAUUCAUAAGAGUUCGCAAACAGAAAUUGGAAAAAUUCUAAGGGGUAGAUAUGUUUUCAAAUUUUAAAGAAAAAUACAACUAGAUUAUGUUAAUUUACAUUAUCUACUAAGAAGAUAUGUAUGAAGAAUUUUUAAUACAUUAAAAAAAAUAAAAUUGAUAGAUAAAAUAAACUUGUCAUGAGAAUCCUCAUGCUCCUACAACUUUGAAGCAAAUUUGAACAUUUUUUUUUCACAAAUUAAGUAACUAAGAUUCACAAAUGAAGUUUUGAAAGUUCACAUAGGUAGUACCCAAGUUUCACUAAGGUAGUACCCAAGUUUCACUAAGGUAGUACCUAAGGUUAAGUAAGCUAGUACCUAAGGUUCCUAAAAUACUAAGAUGAUGUCCAAUAAGGUAAAAACAUCUUUUUUAAUGUCCAUUAUGGGGGUCUUAAUUGGCCUAAUGGAGUCCAAUAUAGUAGGGCCCCUCUGCUUGUGAGAGGGAAUCCAAUCACAGUUGUUCAAUAUGCUAAUUAGAAUUUGAAAGGGGCACAUCGGUUUUUAAAACCUAGGCUUUUGAAAAGCAAAACCUGGGCCUAAAUGGUUUGUCUAGACUAAAACUAGACCAUUUUAGUUGGAUCCUGUCUUAAUUACUCACAACCACACCAUAUAGUUGGUAAAAGAUACAUGUUUCCAUGUUGAUCCAGCCCUGAAAAAAAUAUUUCCUUCAAUUUUAUUCAAGAAAUAAAGUACUAGGAAUUUUCAGUAAUACAUGCAACAAUUAUUCUUCAAGAUGAAACUUGCCUUUAUUGUUGUGAAAUAGACAACUAAACAAACCAUUGGUAUAUAUAUAUAUAUAUAUAUACCAAUGGAAAAAAAAUCUCCUCAGAAUAAAAGCUUACUCCAUACAUACACUCUUUAUACAGGACAAGCAUGUACAUGCUCAACUCACUUCACUCUUACAAAAAUUUCAGUACUGCUUCUUUCCAAUAUAGAAAAAUGUGAUUCAAGAAAAUACCUGCUCAAAGCUUAAAAAAUAUAAAGUCAUAGAGAAGAAAAAAAAUAAACCAAAUUCUUGACAAAAUUAUUGACUUUUACUUGUCCAAAAAUUCUACCAUUCCUUGUCUUCCAAAUUAUCCAAAUCAAAGUGAGGCUCACCAAUUACCAAAUAAUUCUAUCUUUAGGGAGUCUCCCAAAUUCCUUAAAAAAGAUAGUCAUCCUAUUUGUCAAAAUUCUGAGAAGCCUACCCUAUCACAGCUAUGCAAACAACUUCUACCAAAGCCCUAAAGAAAAUAGGCAAUGAAGAAAGUUAUAACCAAUUGAUUCACCAUGCCACAAGCACAUAAAACAUAAUUUGAACAUAAAACUUUAUAGGGCUUGCUCACCUAUAGCUUCUUGUUGGUAUUGCUUAUUUGCCACUGACCAUACAAAAGGCUUUUGCUUUAGGUGGGGAUGUAGAUUUCCAAAUGAAACUAGCUGGAAAAAAAAAAAAAAAAACGAGUUCAAGGUUUCAAAAAAGAGCUAAGAAAAAUGAACCGUUAGAAAACAAGCUUGAAGAGACCAAAAACUAAACCUUAAGAAAGGUGAACCUAGUGGCCAAUGAUAUUAAUCACAUAAUCUCAAAUGUGCCAUACAUCAUAUAUCAUUGAAUUUUACAAAGCAAGAUUACAAAUAAUUAACAAAAUGCAAAAGGAUGUAAGUCUUUAAAGCAAACUGGAGCAACAAUUAUAACAUGCUAAGAGAAUAACAGAAAAAAAUAGAUGAACUUUGAUAACUUAACGUGUACUUUUUCGUAAGAUUUGGAAGUCACAGGUUUGACUCUUGGACAUAUAUACCAUGAAGAGUACCAGUAUCAUGAAACACAAAUUUUCUCAUUGUUAAUCUAAAACAGAAGCAACUACAUCAAAAAUUCAAUAGAAGUUAAAAAGUUCUCAAUAUAUAUACCUAAGAUUUAUUGUGACUAUAAUAUAUAUAUAUAUGCAUGCACAUCUAUUUCCUUGUAUGGAAGACAUGCUUCUAUUAAUUCAUGGAUGACAUAUCCAAAGACAGACUCUUUUUAUUAGCCAAAUCUAUGAUCUUAAAAUUCAAGGUCUAGAAUAACCUAGCUAGUAGACAAAUGGCCACUCUAAUACCUAAACAACGUAAUGAUAAAGUGAAGGAAAUGGUUUGCAUAGAGCAAAGAAGGUUUUCUCAUCCAGUGAAACAAUAGGAUUGUGUAUUGUGAGGCUUAAGCUUCUUAUUCAUAAUUAUUUAAAUAAAUAGACUCACAGGUAGCAAUCAUAAGAGUCGAAUGUGUUUGCUUUGCUAAUCAUUUCACAAAUGCAAAAGCUAAACAUCUUAUUCAAAAUCACAUGCAUCAGGUUAUUGUUAUAUUUAUGGAAAUGACUAAUGAGUAGUAAAAGCACCCAUCUCCAAGUGCUCAAGGUGCUUUCACCUUUACUAGGUAAAGUAGAAGAGAAAAGCGCUCAACAUGUGAGAGUAUAGAAAGACCCAACAAAAAAUAAAAAUGAAAAACACAAGUUGAAGAUCAGCCAAUAAACACAACUUUUUUUAGAGCUACUAAAUUUUGACCAUUUGAUUAUAAAAAAAGAUAUGAAUUAUAUACCAGCUAUGUGGGCAACUUAGAAAUUUUUGAUAUAAUGAAAAUGGUAUAGAUAGACUCCAUGUGAACAAGAAAUUGUAGCAUUAUUCUGACAAUAAUGAAAAUUCCUUCUAACUCCAGUUUCCAUCUUAUUUAUGAUUGCCAAGCAAAUGUGGGAAAAUAAAAGUAAAUAAAAAACUCUGAAUCUUAGAACUUUUUUUUUCCAUAGAAAUAUUUAGAAUGAAAAUUUUCCACUCAACUUGACCAAAUUCAAGUAUUUAUUCAUAAAAACUAUAUAAUUGGAAAUUUAUUUUCCUCAAAUUUUGAUAGGAAUCGCAAUAAAAAGAAGAAUUUCUCAACAAAAAUUUAUAAAAAAAGCUGUAAAAUUGAAAUUUUAUUUUCCUUAAAUUUCAAUAGAAAUAGCAAUAUAAAAAAAGAAUUUCUUAACAAAAAUAUAUAGAAAAAUACAUAAAAAGACGACAUUCUCUAAAACAUACAUACAUAUAUGUGCUAAAAUAGACAUGAACAUAGGAAACCUAACCUUAAUCAAACACCAAAAUCUUGUGAUUUUGACAUCCAAAUCCUAAUACCAAAACCUUAAUUCUAAACCUCAGUAUUAUGAUUUCCACAACAAUGGAAGAAAAAUAAACAUACAAACCCCUCCUCCCACCUAAAAAAAAAACUUAACAAAAAACAACACAAAUAGCUUGAAGAAUUGAAGAAAACAAGAAACCCAAAUGGGAACCCCAGAUUUGGACAUGAACAUUGUUGAUAGUGCUAAAAGACAAAAGACAACAAAAUCAUACCCGUAGACAAACAAAGAAAAAUAAAAAACAAAAAAGGCAGAGUCAGAUAUCCUUCAACGAGAAUGAUUAAAUUGAAAAUGUUGGCAGUGCUACUGCUCCAUCACAAUUCCGAGAUAGAGAGGACGGGGGAAGAUGGAAAUGAAAGAGUUUGGAAAGUGUAAUGUGACUGAAACACAUGUAAAGAAGUCGAUAAUGAUGGGUAUCCCAUGCCCUCCAAUCUGUGUCGUCCAUUUAUGACAAGAAGAUGUUAGGGUUAGGUUUUACCAUAUUAUUGGGAUUUCAGGAAUAUUUGAUAAAAUAAGAGGUCCGUGUUUUUACGAGAUUUGAUUUUUUCAUAUUCAGAUCAACACGAGGAAAGUAUUAGAGUUUUUGGAUUUUUGGGUUUCAAGAGGGAGAGAAGCAUAUAAAGGAUGAAGUUUUCUAUUCAAUCUUAGCGUCGAUCAGGGCAGAGAGAAAAAUGUAGACUGUUUUUUAGUUUUUAGUUUUUUAAUCUAUGUGGAAGAUGGGCCGGAGGAAAGAGGAGGGCAAUUUGGAUAUAAAAUAACAACUAGGCUCAAAGUGCAGCUCAAAGCGCAUGAAACUCAAAUUAUUUUUGGGAUUAGAAUAAUUAUAUUGAAAAAUAAAAAGUUGGGUUUCCAAUUUCCUAUAUUUUUCAUAUUAGCAAUCCAUAACACAAGUUUCCGGGGAAGAAGCUGUGGCGUGCGGACAGGAGGAUAGAAAACUUGCAAUGUGGGACCACAGCACGUCAACCUUAAUAACUUCUUGGACCCCACUUGUCCCCUUCAUUUGAUUCAUUCCUUCUGCAAUUUUUGUCCUUGACAUGAUCGUUUUCCAUGGCCUAACCAUUUAGCUUUGUGAGAAAACCUGAUCUUCUUUGCUAAUAUUGUUUAUCUUCUUUGGCUACUUUAAUGGUAAAGUUCAAAAAUAAAAUAAUAAUAAAGGCACAUUGGAAACCAAUUGUAAUGAUCAAUGUUACACAGCAUACUGCAAAAAUUGAAAUAGGAUAGGCACUUUAGAAUGACUAAAUCGAAGAGAGUGAAAGCAAUAAGUAGGCUACAACUAUAAGCAUUCAUUGGGGGUCAGAUCAGAACAUAUGUGCCAUUUACCAAUUAGGCCAUCGGUGGAAAGCGUUAAAACCAAUUCCACGUGUCCUGACCUUAAUACAACACCCUUAAACCAACGGCCAUGAAAUAUUUACCAGUCGGGUUGAGGUUUAGUGGUAAAUGUGGCCAACAGCUAACGUUAAAAGCACAUUUUGCGUGACAGAUAAGGCAAACCGGUCAGCUAUCACAUCACCAACUCAAAAUACAUACGAAAACACACUAAUUAGUAAUUACGUAAUUACGACCGAGGAUUCACGAUUCAUCCGCCGGGUUGACUCCCGGCGAAAUUUUAGUCGCUGUGGACCUCCAAGCUCACAAAUGAAAACUUGCUACCGCUGGAAACAUCACUCUCCGAGCACUCUUUUUCCAGCCCUUUUAUUGCUAAAACGAGAUUUCCGAUUUCCACAUUUUCUGGUGAGGUCGUCCCAUUUCCGACGUCUCGGGUUGGAGAAGGGGAGGGAGUGAAGUAAGGUGGAGAAGCACAAGGCGUCGAAAACGGUGUCACUUCGUCCACACCAACGGCCACAGUCAACUCUGGCAAUUCAUCAGCAACCCUUAAACAUUCCCCCAGUGAUACACUUUUUGUCUCCGCAGACAAUGAUUUGUCAGUUGCUUGUGGCUCCAUUUCUUCCCUCUCCUCCUCCUUGAUGGUGAACAAAACCCUUGAAGAACCAUACAAUCCCUGCCAUUUAAGGACGUCAACGUCGUUGAUCUCCUCCGACGGCACUCUACCGGGCCUGGUAGCAGGAUGGGCGUGGGGAUCGGCGUGGGGUUCGAUGCGGGACUGGCGUUUCCAGCAGAAAAAGUAGAGGAGCUCCUUGGAGGGGAUGGAGAAAGGGUCUCCUGGAAACUCAGGGUGGCCGGCGGUGGAGUUCUGACGCCUGAAUCGUUUCCGGUACCAGUAAACGUGGAAGAGUUGGGUGCCUAUGACAAGGAGGAAGACUGCAAACACCACGAUGAGAACGAUGCAUAACUUGCUCAGACCGAUCAUGUUUCUCCAACACUCUCUGUUGAGUCUUCCUCCUCAGCGUUUUGUCUCUUUUAAGAAACUGAGACACUUGCGUCCUGUAGCAGGUAGCCGGUAACCUCAACGGAUUAAUGCUGACGUGUAUAUUCGACAAAUUUAUCAUUAGAAAAUUCUGUGGGGAAGAGUAAAAAUGACGUGUGGGAUGGAGUAGUGAUGACGUGGCAUCGAUGUCUGGAUCGUUGACUUGGGUGGGCCCAAAAAAAAUGGCGUAAUCAUCUGGGGUGCUGCCCAAAUACCAUUGGAUGGUGGACUAGGAGCUUGAACCAAGGCCCAUUUUAACGAUGCUGGGAUAUUGCAAAUAAAUUGGCCCAUUCACAUGGCUUGUAAUUCUCAAGCCCCCUCAACAAGUCGAUAGUUUUCUAGAGUUCUGAACCUCCGCGGGACUAGGAUCCAGGUGUCAUAGGCGGGAGCUUUUGAUCAUUAUUAUUUCGCAUUUUGCUAUAAUAUACAGCGCCAAGGAGAGCCCAGGUAGAUCACAGGCUUGGGCAGGCCUAAUCAUAGGCCAAAAUCAAGCUCAAGGUUAAAUUCAAUGAAACAGAGAGACUAGAUUAAAUUCAACGAACCAAUCUAAGCCCAUUUUCUAGAGCAGUGUGAGUCUUGUUCAGGCAAGAGGAGGCCUUGAGGUUAUUUCAAUGCCAAAUGUGACUGAAAACUGGGCCAUUUGAGAUCCAUCGCCUUCCACCAUGGGCAUCCUUGUUGUCACGGCCCAGAUGCAGUAUCGAGAAGCAAUAGGUAGCCAAUUUGAAGGAAAAGAUUAGGACCAGGGCUGAAGAGGUCUCGGGCCCAUACCAUAUUGCUGCUAAACUUAGAUGAUUUAAAGCCCUUUUUGAUAGCUAUUUUCGAAAACAAUAUUUUAUUAUCUAAAAUAAAAGAACAGGAAACACAUUUAAUAAUAAAAAAAUAGAAAAUAAUUUUUUCUUCUUAAACAUAGAAAAUGUGAUGUUUUCAAAAGAACCAUUCUUUUAAUGGUUUUUAAUUGUUUUCAUAUGAAAUUUAUUUUUAAAAAUAUAGAAAUUAGGUUAAAAACAUGUCAAGUUUUCAAACUGAUUUUUAUUUUGCAAAACAUUAAAGAAUAAUUUUCGAAAAUUAUUUCAAAAAACUGUUUUUGAAAGCACUUAAAAUAGAGCGGUCUGGUGGCAUACGGGGCAGGGCAAGUGAAAAGGAAUUCAAGACAAAUAGUGGGCUGGUCCAAAGUAUUGAUUGGGCCGGAGGACUGAUAGCCCUACCCAUGAAAAGCAAUAGCUGAGAGAGUAAACGUUAAAAAUCUAAAACUGAGCUGGCACACUGUUACGUGAAAGCGUGAUAUCUUCUCCAAUCAUGUAAAGUUGAGAGGAAGAUCCAAUGAUUUAGACAGCAGAAAUUAUUUGGAGAAGCAUCAGUGUAAUGGGUGUUUUUCCAUGUUGGGCUUCACCACAACCGUGAUGCAAAGACCAUUAUGGUUUUUGGUGAUCUCAAUGCUGUGUUUCAUGGCAUCAUUGGAAUCACAGAUACCCAAAACCGUGAGGGAGCAUGGAAGCACAAAGUGCUAAAAUCAAACAGAAUAGAGCACCCUUUUGCUUUUAGAAUCUUUUAUUUCCGGAAAGGUUUUUCGCCAUACAAUUUUCAUACUCUUCAUUUUGACACGGCAUAGUUUUUCUUGGUCACUAACGUCUAAAUCUAUUAAAUCAUAUUAUAUGAAGUGUCUCGGGGCAAUGGAACGAUAGUCUGAGACAAUAUUUGAUGAGGGCUUCAUCACGGCAGGGGGCUAGAAAGUAACAUGGCAACCAAAAGUCUCUGAUUUAAAAUGCUUAGGAAAAAAGUAACUAGAAUAAGUUGCAACAUGCAAUUGGAAUGGCACUAAAGGUUGGGGUCCUCCCAGUUGGUGCGCGGAAUGGAAAUAAUUUCCAAAUAACGGGUUGGGAACUAGGUUAUGAUUAGUGAUUGAAGAGCAGAAGCAGAAAAAAAAAAAAAAAGAGGCCAUCAAGUAAAUGAUUGCCAGAGUGUAGAAAAGCAGACACACGCAAUAUGCUUUAAGAAAACGACCCAACAAUCAUGAAAAGCAGCAUUAUUUCCAAAAUCUAAUCAUCGCCCACAUCUUGGUUUGGCGUGUGCUCUAGACUCUUUUUGACCGGCUGCUACACUUGGAAAGAAGACCAGACCACCAUAAACACACAGACCAACAUGGUGUGGUACCUCUCCCAAUCUCUUUUCCCCAAAACUGAAGCAGCAGCACAUGAAGUACUCUCUCCUUGGAUCCCUCAAUCAUCACUUUCAAAUGAUAAACCCAUAAAAACUAUACUCAGAAUGUGGGUGUGUGAGAGAGGGUGGCUCUGGGGACUUUCAGAUCCCAGAUUUCCCUUAUUUUCAUGCAAAAUUCACUCGUAAGGGAAAGGAAAAAAAAGGAAGGAAUCGAUGGUGACCUUAUGGAAAAGAGCCAUUUGUUAGCUCCCUUUUCUUAAAGUCUGCAAAAGCCCAAGGUGUGGAAACUUUGUCUCCAUGCUUGUGUUGUCUUUUGCAGAUGCCAACAAUUCUUCUUUUCUGUGUGGGUCUCCUAAGAGAGCUCUUUGGAGUUUGAGGGGCUUCUCACCUUGUCUUGUUUGUUCCAGACUUGGAAUUCGGUGCAACAAGUAAAGUUAGAUGAAAUCUAAUUCCUACAAUCUUGUCUGCUUAUCAUUUUAAUUUUCUUGGCUAGUCUCCCUUCUGUUAUCACCAACUAAAACAUGUAUUUCUUAUCUUCUCAACAGCCAAAUGCAUCAUUCAGGCAAUCUAGCUAGCUACAAAAAAUUAAUAUUGCCUCACCAUCAUGCAUGCAGACUAACCAUAUCAAUAUUCUCAUUACUGCAUAACCGGUCCCUACUACAUACCAUACAUUAAGUGGAGUUGGGAAAUCAAUGUCAAGCUUGCUUAAAAGCUAAAAGACUGUUAUUACAUACACCACUUAAAGCAUUACUUCAAUGCUUCCAACCAUUUUCGUUACAAUUAAUCAUGUCAUUUGUUUAAAAUAUAUGAAGGCUCAACUGGUUUAAUUCAGAUGCUUCUUUCUUGUACUAUCGUAGUUAUAUAGCUUAGUUUUGGUAGAUUUUUCUCCUCUAUCCGAUAUUGGAAGAGUGUUUCAAGUACCCUAACAUUAAACACCUAAUUCCAUAUAAUAUGCAGGUCUAGAAGAAGAGAGAACUAAUCCACCCUUACUCGACUUUCUCAACUAAACCACCGAGAAGAUCUCCAACCUAACGGGUCUAAUGCGUGUCUUUAUAUAUGUAUGUGUAUAUAUAUAUAUAUAUAUAUAUAGAGAGAGAGAGAGAGAGAGAAUUUCAUUGAGCUGUUGGAGACAUGGUCGACCCCAUGAACUGGGCUUAGUUGGCCCAAGUCAAUGCUAGCUGUGAACCCACUUGAUCAGUCAGUGAAAUCAAGUUACCUUGUAAGGAAAAUCAUACAAGAAUUUUAAGUGCUUAAUUUAGAUCCAGAUCAUGCUAGCUCUAUAUUUGAUUGGCCAUGUUUGAAUCACAUCACAUUCAUUAGUUCUAUCAUUCCUCAAAGCAAUCUUGAAAGGAAAUCUGAAACUUUAUAAAGAAAGAAAAGGCAAUAGAACAAAUAAAGACGCACCAUUAUUUGAAGAGGGAAAAGCAGAUAAAAUCCAUAUCUUGACAAAGAUAUAUGAUUAGAGUUCCAAAAGUUAUUUAGGUAUUCAUUUUAUGGUGGUUAGAAAAGGUUUCCAAAGCAAAAGAUACAAUGGGCUUAAAGGAAAGGAAAGGGUGGUAGAAGCUCAUUGGCUCCCACAAAGUGAAGAGGCUUGUUGCCUUAAUGAGUAUGUCUCUUAUCCCACAAUGCUUAUGGUUCAAGUUUUUUUUCCUUUUCGUCCAUGGGUCUUCCACUAGUGCCUUUGAUGACGUCCCACACCCUUUAUCAUCCCCUUAUUAGGACAUUGCUCGAGCGCUUGUCUUGGAGCGACAAGGGCUCCACCAAUUGACCCAUCAUUUGAACACCCAAUAUUAUCCACUUUCCUUUAUAACCUCGCUUGAGGUAAAUAUUCAAAACAUAUAUAAGACAGGCCUCCCAUCCCACCUUUCACAAUACAUAGACCCAUCCAAUUGCUCAAAACCUAGUAUGACCUUGGGAUUAGCCGCUUAGGCUUAGACCUCAUGGAAAAUAUUCUCCCAUGUCCACAUUUCCGCUGAGGUGGUAGCAUCGAUCUCUAGAAAUUGCUUCCCUAUCUUUUAUUAAGGACUUGACUUUUAAUCACGUUGGUGUCACGACUUUGAUAUAAUAACAAUACACGAUAAAUAAGAUAGGAAGAAUAGAAAUACUCAAAACUUUGUUAUUUUGAUAAGAUAUCCAAAGACCCAAUUUUCUUGUGCUACCUUUUGAGGACAAGUCAUCUUCUCUAUUUAAAAUUUUUUUAACUUUCACCUAAGUCUUUACUUUUCCUCUUGAUACUUUAUAAAAUUUCAAUGGUGGCUAGACUUUGAAAAUAUAUUAUACGUAAUAUAAUUAAAUUAAGCUGCUAGUAAAGGCUAAUAUAUAUAUAUAUAUUGUAUUUGUAUUACCACCAGCAGACUUGGAAAAUUUAACUCUUCUUUCAAAAUAGUUCACAUUCACAUCAAAUAUGAACAUGAAUGCAACAAGUUUAACUUUUAAGAAUUGAACUUGAUGUGGAAGAGAAAAUGAAUUCUUAGUGGAAACAAAAAAAAGGAAAAAAAAAGAAAAAGAAAGGGAAAACAGGAGUCUGUUAUUACUAGAAUGAGGUAGGAAAAGUAAGCUUAAUUUAUGUCUUCUAUGUAAACAAAUAUUACGUUGCCACCUUAUUCAAAAGGAAAAUUCAAGAUCUAGUGGGAAGAAGGUUAAAAAUUGAAAAAAGAAGAAAAGCAGUCUAAGAUGGAGGCUUCUUCCUUUUUAGAGAGAGAUUGGAAAAGGGGUAAAAGGGAUGACCCAAAAGUAGAAGAGAAUAUAAUACUAGUAAGUAGUAAGCUGAUUUUAUAAGUUGAAAAAAAGAAAAACCCCACCACUGUCCUUCACAGAAUGCAUUAAUUCCCGAAACCCCUAAUCUUUUGAAAAGCCACAAGCGACAAAUUCCCUACUUAUGCUUAGGGUUUUAAUUUAAAGUUGCCAAGAUAAUGAUCUUUUUGUGAUUCUAAAGUAACAACAUCUUUAAGGUUUAAAGAAGAGAUGCUUAUCUAUGUGUUUUUUUUUUCCCUGAAUGUGUUUUAGCUUUUACUUUUUUGAUUUAUUUGUUUUUGAAAACUUAUACCACAACUUUCCAAUGCUUUCCAAAGAUGAGAAUGUUGGGUUUACGAAAAUCAAAGAAAGAAAAGUUAUUCUUUUGCAAAACGCAUCACAAAGCAUAAAAAGUAGUGCUCUUUUGAUAUUUCUUAGGGAAGAUUUGCUUUUCCCUUCUAAAGUGGAAAAGUUGCCUCUCCUUUGCACAACCCUUACGUUAUGGAUCAUACCUUAAUCUUACUUUGUGCAUUCCCAACAUUCCUUUACAUUUCAUACAACUUGUAUAAUUAAUGCACAAUCAUUUUCCUUUUUAAUUGCACUCUCUCUCUCUCUCUCUCCCCCUCUCCCCCUUAACCUUAAUUAAAUCUUUAAUACAGUCUCCAAAGACCCUUAUUGCCAGUUCUCGCGAAUUAACUUAAUUAAAGAGAAUUAUUGUGGGCAAAAAAGCUAGUACUUGGUUAACCAACCAUGACAAUUGAAAAUAAUGAAGAAAAAUGAAUGAGACAGCUGGAAACUCAAUACCCAUAAGUUACUUUGUGUGAGACAAAAGGCCAAAUGGAAUUUGAAGAAAGUCGAAAGUAUGUUCAGCAUUAAUACCACCGCUUUAUUCUUCAUGUUACUAUUUGCUCAGCCUGAUUUCGAGCUGUUAGAUGCUCCGGACAUGAUACUUUUAUGUGACGACGAGUACAUGAAGCAUUUAUUUUAAGCCGACCAUUUUCAAUGGCUUCAGCUGCUAUUAUUUAAUGCCACAUGAAUCUUAGUUUCUGACAUCCUCCCAAACCCAAUCAUGGUAUAUAACUGUAAUGCAUGUAUAGAGAUUUGUUAUUUGAUACACUCUGAAUAAUGGGAACUCAGGUUUUACAGGCAGGUAAUGAUACACUUUGGCAUUUUUUUUAAUCGUGAGACCUAAUUUUGGAUUUUAUUUUUUUCUCUCCAGAAACAAAUAUCUUAAGAAUAUUGAACACCAAUAAAACAAAUUAAAAAUACAAUUAAAACUAAAAUACUGAAAAAUUAAAUACAAUUAAAAUAAAAAACUUAAAUUUUUUAAAAAUAAAAUGUUAACUUUUAUUCAUUUCCUAUUCUUGAUAUUUAUAUUUUUAAUUAAACGAAGUGAAAGUUAAUAUUUUAUUUUUAUUUUUAAAAUUUUUAAGUUUUUUAAAAUAUCUUAUUUUAUUGUUGAUGUUAAUGAACAAAAAUUUUAAUCGAUUUUAUUAAAAAAGAUAAGAAGAUGAAGAAAUUUAUAUAAUAUAAAAUAUAAAAUCAUUAUUAAUUAGAAUAUUAGAAAAAAAUUUAUUUAUCACUUGAGAAUGUUAUAGAAAAUUUUCAUAAUGAUUUGUACCUCAUAUUAUAUAAUAAAAAUUUAUAAAAUAUUUAUUUAUAAGAUACUUUUAUUAAUUUAAAAUGAUAAAUUAAUGUUUUGAUAAUUUUAUUUAGUAUAAUGGUAAGAGGUCAUUUCAUGAAAUGAUUAUCUAAUCUAUAAAAAAAUGUAUGUAUUUUAAAAUAAUUUUAAAUGGAUGAAGAUAAAACUUAUUUAUAAAAUUUGAAAUUCUUUUUUAUAUAUAUAUAUAUAUUUUUUAAAUUAGUGAAUUAUAACCCACUUUUUUCUCUUUUGUUGUAGCAGUGCAUGUAUGCACUAUUACGUGCCAUCCUAUUGGGAGUGGCACAUGGUGGCACAUGAGAGUUCAUCCAUCUUAAUACCACCCCAAGGGAUCUAAUUAACUGUAAGACAUUAAAUGUGAUUAGAAUCAUAUUAUUAUUAUUUUUAAGUAGGGGUCAACCUCGAGUAUAGAAAAAACACCACUAAAGAAGCUCGACUUAAAGGAUGGAUAAAAUAAGUUAAUGGCUCAACUCCACGUUUAACCAUGAAAGCACCGAACUAUAAAAACUUUACUAUGAUCAUCAUACAAAUGGUCAAAGUGUUAAAACGAAACAUAAUAAAGUUAUUAAAAGCGUCAAGUAAUUGAUACCAUUAUUAUAUUAUCUUUCCAUAAUCUAUGCACUAAGCUAGGAGCGAUAAAUAUAAGAUGAGACACCCCCACUCUACUUCCUAUUGUGUCUCUUUGCUUCGCAAUUGGCACUUUAAUGACAUUAAAAUGGGGCGAAACUCUUUUUUGUUUUUAUUAUUAUUAUUUAUUUUUUGUUUUUAAGAUCAUUAAUGUAAAUAUUCUCAUUAUAUCUCUUUAUGUAUUUAUUUCUUUUCUUUCAGAUGAAAAGGAUAAAUGAGGCAAAUAUGUUUUAUAUUGUGUAUAUCCAUUCCUAUGUAACCAUUUCCUUUUUUUUUUUGCUUUUUUUUUUUUUAUUUUUUUUCAAAUUUGGGAUAAUGUUUAGUUCUCUAAUUUUUUUUUUCAAUUUUUGAAAAAUGUUUAGCAAACAAGGUCCCCCUCUUAAAGUCUCAACCCAUUAUAUCAUUCAAUAACCUUUUUUUUCCUUCAAAUUUAUAGGCUUUCAUCAAAAUUUUAACCAAAAAAAUUAUGAAUUUUAUGAAAUUCAUAAAAAUCAAAAUCAAAAUGAAAGGGGGCUUAAGGGAUCAUCAACUUCCAAUUUCUAACAAGAAAAGACUUAGAAAUUUUUAAAUCUAUGAACAUAAAAAAGAAAGGAAAAGAAGAGUAAAGAGAAAGAGAAAAGAGGAAAGAGGCAGGAAAAGGAAAAGAAUUAGGAUUUGAUAGGUAGAAGACCAUGAAAAGCAUUUUUACUUUUACUCAUAUCAUAAAAAAUUCCUAUAUCUAGCAACUUUUUUGAUUUUAUAUUUUAUGGAGACAAAUUAUUACUAAUUUCAUAAUUAAAAGGGUUGGUGAAAAUAAAACUUAAUCAUGUUUAAGAAAAUAAAUAAUAAAGCGCCAAAUUCAAUUUUUUGAUGGGAUAAUUGUUUAAUUUAUUAUAAUAGCUCUGAUUACUCUACCAUAAGAAUUCACGCCAUAAUCCAAAGUAGUGAAAUCUAUUAUUUUGAUUGAUAUUUGACCUUGUGACUCAAGAUAAUGUUUAAAAUAUCCUUCUAGUCGGAUAAAAUGAAGAUGGUUGAGACUAAGAUGGCACAAGGGUAGGUUUGUUAUGUGUCGCUGAUUUUAUCUCAUUUAUUUAAAUUUAUUUUUAUUUUCAUCUUAUUAAAAAAUUUAAACAAGAUGGAGUUGCCUGGUCCCAUUUAAUUUAAAUUCUUUUAAUUACAUUAAAAAAUAUUAUGAUUUUUUAUAAUUUUAAAUAAGCAGUUUUUUAUUAUAAUAUGAGAUAAAAAUGGAAAUAAAAAUUAAAUUUAAAAUAUAUUUUUUAAUUUAAUUAUAUAUAAUAAGGGGAGAUAGGACAAGGCAUGACAUGAAGGUUUCCAAAAAAUUAAAAACUCACUUAUAACUCAUUCCUUUUCAUCCCAAACCUGUCCUUGAGAUGAGGUAGUACCCUAUUACCAUCCUAGUUGGGGCUUAUAUAUGUUUUGUUUUUUUUUUUUCCUCAAAAAUUGAUUCAAAGAGUAAUGAAAGAGUAUAAUGUCUUGUUGGAAGUUGGAACCAGGCUCUUUUACAGAGAAGAUGAUUUUUUUUUUGGUUAUAUGCUAACUCAGAGUAAUAAAAAUCACCUUUUUCAAAAUCUUUGAAAUAAGAUGAUAAACAUGAUAGUAAUAUAAAUGAAAAAAAAAAAUACUAAUUUAAACUAACAAAAUAAUAAGAUAUAACUAUUGAAUCAUGGAUAAAUUUAAAUAAUAAAAUUAUAUUGCAUUCUAGGAUACAUAUUAUUUAAGUAUAUAUAAAAGUUAUAAAUAUCAAUACGUUUAUAUUUUAUUUUAUCUUUACCAUGAUUUUAUCUUUUAAUAUUAAUUCAAAGAUAAAUUAAAGAUAAAACAUUUUGAAAUUUCUAAAUUAUUUAUAUAAAUUAUAAAUUUAUGAUAUCAUGUUGAUAUCAUAAUACAACCCUAAUUAUACUAUGGAUCCAACUAGUAAAUCAUGACAUGAUAAUUUUUUCAAUUUAAUAAUUAAUCCAAUCAUGAAUAAAUUACUUAAAACAUUUACACUUAAAUUAUUUUUUAAAAGUCCAACUUAUUGUCUCUCCUCACAUGUCAGCUAGUCACUUCUUACUCUAGCAUGAAUAUAGAGAAAGGUAAACCUAAAAUAUAUCUGGAUCAAAGAAAGCGUAUUAGUCUUUAUUAAUUGGAAUCCAACGAUAUGUACUUAUUUUGAAUUAUUUCAAAACAAAGGCAAUGCUAAUUAUUUGUUGACUUUUACGAUGCUAAUUAUUGUCUUACAUGCCUUCUACAUUCAAGGGAACUUCCUUAUAUAUUAAGUAUAAAUUCUUUAUACAUGACAUGCAAAACCAAAUUUGAAUGUGAUAUGGAAGUAUACACAUAAAUAUUGUUUUUCUUAUCUACUUCUACAUAGGAAUAACCUUACAAAGGAAAUAGACCAUGUAACGACCCACUUACAAUCGUGUAGAUAUUGUCCAUUUUGGGCCCAAAGGGACCAUCACGGCUUUAAAACGUAUCUAUAGGGUUAGUGUUAGAAACUUUUCCCCUAUCCGAUGUGUGAUGUCACAAACAACCCCCCCCCCCA
RNAcentral lists this long non-coding RNA (85221 nucleotides) under Vitis vinifera (wine grape). Its description in RNAcentral is "long non-coding RNA (VVIN_LNC002595)". Lineage: Eukaryota; Viridiplantae; Streptophyta; Magnoliopsida; Vitales; Vitaceae. The record is from RNAcentral.